RNAcentral lists this long non-coding RNA (74784 nucleotides) under Cucumis sativus (cucumber). Its description in RNAcentral is "long non-coding RNA (CSAT_LNC000637)". The record is from RNAcentral. Lineage: Eukaryota; Viridiplantae; Streptophyta; Magnoliopsida; Cucurbitales; Cucurbitaceae.
AAAGAAGAAGAAAACUGAAUAAAAGGAAAAUAAACUAAAGUAAAAAGAAACGCCGUUGCCGGGGAUCGAACCCGGGUCACCCGCGUGACAGGCGGGAAUACUCACCACUAUACUACAACGACUUGUUGAAAUGAAAUGAAGAUUUAUUUUAUUUAUCUAAUAUUUCAUGAAUAUAUGUUAGCAAUAGAAUGCUACAUAUUUCUUUUCCAAUCAAAUCUUUAAACGGAUUGAUUUUAUUUUUAAUAUAUAAAAUACAAAAUAGAAAAUUUGUAAAAAUAAUAAAUUUGAUAAAAUAUUUAGAACAUAUAGCAAAAUUUUGUUAUAGUUUAUAAAUAUUUUAAUUUACAUUGUUGUUUUUUUAAGAAGCCUCUACAAAAUAUUUGAAAUAAUAGGAUUUUCGCUCUUAAAUCCUUACUUAAGCACUUUUCUCGUCUUUUUAGUUAAGCUAAUAUAUUUGUGAUUGCAUUAAUAUAUUUUUCACAAAGGAAAUAUAAUGUUUGAGGGUUAUUUGAUAGGAUUUCUAAAUUUUAAGAAUUAGAAUUGGUAUUUGAUGUACAUGAUUUAGAAGUCUUAGUUUCUAAAGCUUAUAUUUGAGUUAUUAUGGACCAUCUAUAGCCUAUGUUGUAUUGUGGAUCAAUUUUUAUGAUAAAUUAAAAUGUUUCAUCUAUCCAUUUUAGAAUGAAUUUUAUAUUAUAUUUAUAUGUUUUGUAUUUUCAAAUCAAUUUUUUUGUUUGUAAUGAAUGACGGUGGUUUUAGAUUUAUUGUGACAAACCAAACUAUAAUAAUUUAUCAUAUACUCAUUUUCGUGGAUAAAAAAUCUAAUUAAAUGUGUCGUUUGAAUGUACUAGAGAAAAAAAAUAGUAUUUUAAAAGUUAUUUUUUAUUUAGAUUGUUUUAAUUGAAUUUUCUACAAAUAAGCUGGUAAAACACCUCAAUUUUCACCGGUAGAUAUCUCAUAUUGAGCGUAACAACAAAAACUCAAGGGAUAAAAUCUAAAAUUGAAUGUGACAAAAAAAAUGUAGUUGGAGGGGUUUGGUCAACCUCAUUCUUGGGCUUCCCUUUUUCAGUUCGACCUCCCUUUCCAAGGGCUUUUUGUAAGUUUAAAUCCCAACAUUAUAUAAACAAUAAAAGCUCAAGUCUUUCAACCAAAUAAUUUUCACAAUAAUAUGAAUUAAAGUAAUAUACUUUGAUCCAAGAAAUUGUGUUUUCCUCUGGGCGUUCCUUUAAAACUUGAUUAGGAUGAUGAAAAGAAAAAGUUACUUAAUGAGUUAGAGUGAAGAUCAAUCCUAGAGUUUCAUUUGUAUACAUACCGUCUCAUAUGGGUGUUUAAUUAAAAUAUGUUUUUUACUUGAUUGAUUGAAUAAAAUAAUACAAAAGAUAAAACAACAUAUAUGUGUGGAAGGCGAUCAUUUCACUCAAGGGUGUUGCUUAGUUAUGCACUUGCUCUUUGAUGGGCUAAUUCGUGGAGUUUCAUCUUUCUUUUGAGCCCAUUUUCUGAUUGGUUUCCCGAUGUGUAGGAUAAUAUGGAAGUAUUGUUGGUUAUUAUCUUGAAGGAUGAUUUGGUUCCUUUUUAGUUUAAAAAGUAGUAGGCUUGAGAAUGGGUGAUUUCUAAUUGUCCUUGGUAUAUGGAGGGCACUCCUAUUUUGAUGAGGAAGUAGGUUCCAAACAUUAUUUCUAAGUCCUUUGUAUUUGAUUGGGUGCCCAUUUGAGUGAAGUUGCUCAAAGUUUCUUGAGAAUUGUAGACUCCUAAGUGUGUUGAGUGUUUUGUGUGGCCAAGAGUAUUUGAUUUAGCAAUAUGUAUGGAUAAGACUAUCUAAGAGUUGUGAAUUGUCUACCCAUCUCUUGUGUUGAGGUAAGAGUAGUGAUUUUCCAUGUGUUUUGUGACAAUAUAGUUGCGAACAUAGAAUAUGCUUGGAUGGUGUACAAAUGUGCUUAUUGGGGUGAUGGUUUUGGCCUAUCUAUUGAUAAGCGUGGGGGAGAGGGUUGAUAAGGCACUUUUCUUUUGUACAUUUAGCUCUUAUUAGUGGUGAUUUGAUUCUCACCACUAAUUAGAGCCUAGCUAUAGGGUUGUUGUUCUUUUAUUCAAGGGGCAAUUAGUCUUCUAUGAUGGGAGGUUAGGGUUAGGUUCUUACGUUAGUCUUAUGGCUCACUUGGUGGUGUUUAGAACGUCAAAUUUACAUAAAGACACUAUAAAUUAUUGUAUUCUUUAGCGUUGUUCUAAUGAUGUCUCUGAUUUAGUGGUCAAUUACUGUUAUGUGCUAACGAGUCUUAACUCUUAGCAAACUUUUAAGACUUGUAAAAGGAUUUAGGAUAUUAAUUUAUUUUUUUGUGAUUUUAUUGAUUUCUUCAUGCUCAAAAGUUGUAAGUUUUUUAUAUGUUUUGUUUCUUCUAUUUUGGUUGUAGGAUUAGUUCUCUUUAGUUUGUGCUCUAACCUCAAAUUAAGAGGAAUUAUAUAUUAUAUAUUACGUAUAUCACCUUUAACCAAAUAAUUUGAGAAAUUUUCGUGUUUUUUAAUUUUUAUUUUUGGGAAAUCUUCAUUUUGAUGGAUCAAUAAUGGAUUUAAAGAAAAAAAGAAAGAAAGAAGAAUGCUAAUGUAAUCAAUUUGUGUGACAUUAGAGUUUCCUCUAAAUACCAAAACAGAUUUAGAAUUUGGAGCAUCAACGAAUUUUGUUCAUCUUCUUCUUCUUCUUCACCAGUUUGCAUUUCUAAUAAUGUCUUGAACUUUUCACUGUAACUUAGAAACUGAAGGCUGAAAACUUCCUCUUAGAAUCCUUCGUCGGUUUCACAAUCUCAGGAAAGCGAAAAAAUUGCUCUGAAUUUUCCGUAGCAGAAGGAAAUUGAAUGAGUCUGAAUCAUCAUUCGGAGUCUUUUGGGGUUUUAAAGGAUUUGCAAUGAAUUAUUUCAGGAAAUUCCAUGGAGAAGGAUGAUGCAGGGACUUCACCACCAACAGCAGCAACUAGCGGCCCUUCUCAACGUAGCUUUGCGGAAGGAUGAUCCUAAUCCCACUACCUCAAGUUCCAGUACCGCCGGUGCCACUUCCGACGAGGACGACUCUGCUAGAAUUGCAGCUAUCAAUUCAAUCCAUCGUGCCAUUGUUUAUCCUCCUAAUUCGCUUCUUGUAACUCACUCCGCCACUUUCCUCUCCCAGGGCUUCUCUCAGCUUCUAUCUGAUAAGUAAGACCUCCUCUUCUGGUUAUACAUUGCUGGAGUUUCUUCUCUUGAUUUUUCUGUACCGUUUUUCACUUUGUGGUGCGGAAAGAUCGUAUGGUAUUUUUGGCUUCGAGCUUAGAGUGCAUAUACAUUUUUUCAUUGUUGCCCUUUUUUUUCUAUCUGUGUGGAUUACUCAUGGUCUCUCUAGAAAUGUGCUUAUUAACGAAUUGGAAUUUUGAGCAAAUCCAUGGUGACUGGGCCGCCAACCUAGGAUUUAAUGCUAUAUGGGUUUCUUUAGUACCUAAAUGUUGGAGGGUCAAACGAGUUAUUCGAGAGAUUAGUUGAGGUGCGUCAAACGAAUUGUUCGUGAGAUUAGUUGAGGUGCGUCAAAAGAGGUGUUCAUGAUAUUAUUUGAGGUGCGUGUAAGUUGGCUUAGACACUCGUAAAAAAAGAACGGGAAUUUUGAGCAAGCUGGGGCAAUUAUCCUUUGUGUUGAACUCAAAUUGAAAAUUUUGGUUCUAAGAAAUAUACUCAAAUCUCAUUUUCUUCAAAAUUUUUGGUACUUUUGCUAGUAGUAUAAUGGGAAAAGUAGGUUUUUGCCUAUUGUUUCCAGUUCUUGUUUUAUAUACGUAAAACGGGGAUCCAUAAUUUUUUUUACUGAAUGUUAUUAUUGAUGCAACUAUUUCUUGAUUCCACAUAUUAGGUCAUACCCAGUGAGACAGGCGGCAGCCAUUGCUUAUGGAGCUCUCUGUGCUGUCUCAUGUUCAAUCACUGCAUCACCAAAUGGAAGGCAAAAUAGUGUACUACUUGGAACUUUGGUUGAUCGAUUCAUUGGUUGGGCAUUGCCAUUGCUUAGCCAUGUCACUGCAGGUGAUGCAACCACCAAGUUGGCAUUGGAGGGAUUGCAAGAGUUCAUUAACAUUGGAGAAGCUGGUGCUGUGGAGAGAUUUGCUUUGCCAAUCCUUAAAGCAUGCCAAGUACUUCUUGAGGAUGAGAGAACUCCCUUGUCUUUAUUACAUGGACUAUUAGGAGUUUUAACUUUGAUUUCUUUGAAGUUUUCUAGAUCCUUCCAACCUCAUUUCCUUGAUAUUGUUGAUCUGCUUCUAGGUUGGGCAUUAGUUCCAGAUCUAACCGAUUCAGAUAGGCACAUCAUUAUGGACAGUUUCUUACAGUUUCAGAAGCACUGGGUGGGUAAUUUGCAGUUUUCUCUGGGGUUAUUGUCAAAGUUCUUGGGUGACAUGGAUGUAUUACUUCAAGAUGGGAGUCCUGGGACGCCUCAACAAUUCCGCAGGUUACUUGCAUUACUUUCUUGUUUUUCAACAAUUCUUCGGUCUGCUGCUUCCGGGUUGUUGGAAUUGAACCUUCUUGAGCAAAUAAGUGAACCACUUUCGAGAAUGCUUCCUCAGUUGUUGGGAUGCUUAUCUAUGGUUGGACGUAAAUUUGGAUGGUUGGAGUGGAUUGAUAAUUUGUGGAAAUGCUUGACUCUUUUGGCAGAAAUAUUACGUGAGCGUUUUUCCACCUAUUAUCCACUUGCUAUUGAUAUCCUAUUCCAAAGUUUGGAAAUGACCAGAGCUAACCGUGUAGUGAAAGGUCAGAAGAUUACGUUUCUUCAAGUUCAUGGUGUUUUGAAAACUAAUCUUCAAUUAUUGUCCCUUCAAAAAUUUGGGCUGCUGCCAUCAUCUGUGCACAGAAUACUGCAAUUUGAUGCACCAAUAUCUCAGCUUAGAAUGCAUCCAAAUCAUUUGGUAACAGGUAGUUCUGCUGCCACUUAUAUAUUCUUGCUCCAACAUGGGAAUAAUGAAGUUGUUGAACAAACGGUGGCAUUAUUAAUUGAAGAGCUAGGUAUGUUCAGUGGCUUGUUAGAAAAAGGUUUAGAUCAAAGAGGUAUCAAUGGUAUUCUUGAUUCUCAAUUUUGUUCAACUAUGGAUUUGUUCGCCCUAAUUAAGUUUGAUUUGAGAGCCUUAUUGACAUGUACUAUCUCUAGUGGAACUAUUGGUCUGAUAGGCCAAGAAAACGUUGCUUUCACAUGUCUAAAAAGGUCAGAAAGAUUGAUUUCCUUCAUUAUGGAAAAACUGAAUCCUUUUGACUUUCCACUUCAGGCUUAUGUGGAAUUGCAAGCUGCUAUCCUCGAUACAUUGGACAGGUUGACCACAACUGAAUUCUUUUGCAAGUGCUCUUUGAAGAAAUUGAGCAGCGAGAACCGUUUUCUGGAUUCAGGAGAAAACAUAGAUUCUUAUCAAAAAAAAGGAGAAAACAUAGAUGAAGCCCAUCUAAAGAAGGAUCAUUCAGCUAUUAUUAUUGAGCAACUAACAAAAUACAAUGCUCUCUUCUCCAAAGCCCUUCAUAAAGCAUCUCCACUAACAGUUAAAAUAACAACCCUGGGUUGGAUUCAGAGAUUCUGUGAGAAUGUCGUUACUAUUUUUAAGAAUGACAAGACAUAUGCCAACUUUUUUGAAGAAUUUGGAUAUUUUAGCGUCAUAGGAAACUUGAUUUUUAUGGUAAUUGAUGCCGCAUCUGACAGGGAGCCUAAGGUGAGAUCUAAUGCAGCUUCAGUAUUGGAGCUGCUUCUGCAAGCAAAAAUUGUUCAUCCCAUAUACUUUUAUCCCAUCGCUGACGUAGUCCUGGAAAAACUUGGUGAUCCAGAUAAUGAAAUAAAAAACUCAUUCGUGAGGUUGCUUUCUCAUAUUUUGCCCACGGCACUUUAUGCAUGUGGUCAAUAUGACCUUGGAUCAUAUCCUGCUUGUAGGCUUCAUCUUCUGAGAUCUGAUCAUAAAUCUAGCCUGCACUGGAAACAAGUAUUUGCCUUGAAGCAGCUUCCUCAGCAAAUUCAUUUUCAACAACUAAUUUCCAUUUUGAGCUACAUAUCACAAAGAUGGAAAGUUCCUGUUGCAUCAUGGACCCAGCGGCUCAUCCAUAGAUGUGGGAGAUUGAAAGACAUUGAUUUGAGUCAAAGUGAGGAGAUGGGGAACCUAGGUGCAAAUGGUUUAUGGUUAGAUCUCAGGCUGGAUGAUGAUUUUCUUAAUGGGAAUUGCUCAGUUAAUUGUGUAGCCGGAGUCUGGUGGGCCAUCCAUGAAGCAGCUAGAUACUGUAUUUCUCUACGUCUACGAACGAACCUUGGUGGGCCUACCCAGACUUUUGCAGCACUAGAGAGAAUGCUUUUGGACAUAGCACACUUGUUACAGCUUGAUAAUGAACAUAGUGAUGGGAAUUUAACCAUGGUUGGGGCUUCUGGAGCCCGUUUAUUGCCCAUGAGGUUACUAUUGGAUUUUGUUGAGGCCUUAAAGAAAAAUGUUUAUAAUGCAUAUGAGGGGUCUGCAGUCUUAUCACCUGCUACUCGCCAAAGUUCAUUGUUUUUCCGAGCAAACAAGAAAGUUUGUGAGGAGUGGUUUUCACGUAUGUGUGAGCCAAUGAUGAAUGCUGGAUUGGCACUUCAAAGCCAAUAUGCUGCAAUCCAAUAUUGUACGCUGCGUUUGCAAGAGUUCAAGAAUCUUGUUAUGUCACAUAUGAAGGAAAAGUGUAAUUUACAGGUCGGUGAAAACAUCCACAACACAAAUAAACUUACAAGAGAUAUCUCAAGGGUUUUGAGGCACAUGACUUUGGCUCUUUGUAAAAGUCAUGAAGCAGAAGCUUUGGUUGGUCUACAGAAAUGGGUUGAAAUGACAUUCUCUUCCCUGUUUCUGGAGGAAAGCCAGAGUCUUGGUAACUUUACACUAGGACCCUUUUCAUGGAUUACAGGGCUAGUCUAUCAAGCAAGAGGUCAAUAUGAAAAAGCAGCUGCUCACUUUAUCCACUUGUUACAGACUGAAGAGUCACUUGCUUCUAUGGGUUCUGAUGGUGUACAGUUCACCAUUGCUCGUAUUAUUGAGGGAUAUACAGCUAUGGCUGAUUGGACAUCUCUGGAAUCAUGGUUAUCGGAGUUGCAAUCUCUUCGUUCUAAACAUGCUGGGAAGAGCUACUCUGGUGCUCUAACUACAGCUGGCAAUGAAAUAAAUGCAAUCCAUGCAUUGGCACACUUUGAUGAAGGAGAUUAUGAGGCAUCAUGGGCAUGUCUUGGUUUGACACCAAAGAGUAGCAGUGAGCUAACUCUAGAUCCCAAGCUGGCUUUGCAGAGGAGUGAGCAGAUGCUUUUACAGGCACUGCUUCUCUAUAAUGAGGGAAGGUUGGAAAAGGUGUCCCAAGAAAUCCAGAAGGCAAGAGCAAUGCUGGAGGAAACGUUGUCAGUCUUGCCUCUGGAUGGCUUGGAAGAAGCAGCUGCAUUUGCUACACAAUUACAUAGCAUUUCUGCAUUUGAAGAAGGUUACAAGCUUACAGGCAGUGUAGACAAGCACAAACAGUUAAAUUCAAUAUUGAGUGUUUAUGUUCAGUCUGUGCAAUCUUCUUUUUGUAGAAUUAAUCAAGAUUGCAACCCAUGGAUAAAAAUUCUUCGGGUUUAUCGAGUGAUCUCACCAACUUCUCCAGUCACCCUUAAACUCUGCAUUAAUUUGUUAAGUUUGGCUCGUAAACAGAAAAACCUGAUGUUGGCAAAUAAUUUAAACAAUUAUAUUGAUGACCAUAUAUCAAAUUGUUCUGAUGAAAAGCAUUGUCUAUUUCUCCUUUCAAGUUUGCAGUAUGAGAGAAUCUUGUUAAUGCAAGCUGAGAAUAGAUUUGAAGAUGCUUUCACAAAUAUCUGGUCCUUUGUGCAUCCUCACAUCAUGUCUUUCAACUCAAUUGAGUCGAACUUUGAUGAUGGUAUUUUGAAAGCAAAAGCAUGCUUAAAACUUUCUCGUUGGUUAAAACAGGAUUUAGAAGCUUUGAACUUGGAUCAUAUUAUACCUAAGCUGAUUGCUGAUUUUAAUGUGACUGACAAAUCCUCUGUAAGAGGAGAAUUCUCCAUCUGUAGUGAGAACUUACAUUCUGGACCUGGACCAAGUAUAGAACUUAUCAUUGAGGAGAUUGUGGGUACGAUGACUAAAUUAUCCACUCGUCUUUGUCCUACAUUUGGUAAGGCAUGGAUUUCUUAUGCAUCUUGGUGCUUUGCUCAAGCUGAAAGUUCUCUCCAUACUUCAAGUGGAACUGCUCUCCGCUCAUGCUUGUUUUCUUCUAUACUAGAUCCUGAAGUUCAUUCUGAGAAAUAUAGACUAACUAAAGAUGAAAUCAUAAAAGUGGAACGCCUGAUUUAUGUUCUCGUUCAGAAAAGUCAUGAAGCAAAAAUUGUUAAUGAUGAUCGAAGAGAAUGGAGUUCUGAGACCUUAGAGGAUUUGAAACUUGAUGGCACUGUCAAGGCCUUGUUGCAGCAAGUAAUAAAUAUCAUCGAGGCUGCAGCUGGUUUGUCAAAUACUGAAAACCCUGGGAAUGAAUGCCUAACUGAUGUCUUUACUUCUGAGUUAAAGUUAUUUUUUCAGCAUGCUAGUAUUGACCUAGAUGACACUAGCGCGGUAACCGUUGUUCAGGACUUGGUAGAUGUUUGGAGGUCCCUGAGGAGUAGAAGAGUGUCUCUCUUUGGUCAUGCUGCUAAUGGCUUUAUACAAUAUCUUUUGCAUUCCUCUAUAAAAGCUUGUGAUGGUCAGCUGGCGGGCUAUGACUGCGGGUCAAUGAAACAGAAGUCUGGAAAAUACACACUGAGGGCGACAUUGUACGUUCUACAUAUUCUUCUCAAUUAUGGAGCCGAGUUAAAAGAUUCUCUUGAACCUGCUCUAUCAACAGUCCCACUCUCUCCAUGGCAGGUUUGAUUUCUGUUUCUGAUUUAAAUCAUUUUUGUUUUCCUUUUGGAACUAAUUUGAUAAUGUUGUAGUUUAGAACAUAUUUUUAUUUUAUGAUUCUAGGAAGUGACACCACAGUUAUUUGCUCGCCUGAGUUCUCAUCCUGAGAAAAUUGUGAGGAAGCAGUUGGAGGGAUUGGUGAUGAUGCUGGCUAAGCAGUCUCCAUGGUCUGUAGUAUACCCAACGCUGGUUGACGUAAAUUCUUAUGAAGAGAAGCCUUCAGAGGAACUUCAGCAUAUACUUGGUUCUCUGGUAACAUGAUUUCUUUCAUUAAUUUAAUUUCAUCAAGCCUUUUCAUAUUUAAUACAUUUUAUUUUGAUGAGGAGUUUUCCCCUCUGUUUGAAUGUCUUUAUUUAAGCUUCUUUUGGCAACGGGUGGGAAACUGCUCCUGACUGGAAAAAGGUCUUAAACUUAUUCUAUGUGUUGUCUGAUUAACUGUUGAGUGAUUCAGUCUUUGACACUAACUAAAUUAGUCAAUUCUGGGGCUCUUUAGGUCCUAAAUCUCUGACCUUUUCUAGCUGGGGCUAAAUUAUUCAGUUCACAUAUUUCCUCCAAAAUCAUAUCAGAAUUAGAUCAGUCUUCCGUAUUUGAUUUCUUGAUGGAGUCUUCAUCAGUUUGGUCUUUCUUUUUAUCCUUGCACAAUGUACCAUUAUAUGGUCUCUUCAAGAAAAUGAUAUUGUCUAUUAUAGCUUGAAAAGAGGGACCAUCUCCAAGAAGGAGUGAUGAAUUGAUCUUUUGUACAGGAUGUGAAUUGAUUGUUUGUAGAGGAGUUUUCAUGCUUAAGGAGGAAUAAUGGAAAAACACACAUUUAGAUUCCUGUUAUAGUGGUCUUUAUUUAAAGAAAGAGAAACAUAAGGAUUUUCAAAGAUAAGUUGAUGUUAUUGAUCAUGGUCUUGACUCUUGAGUGUCAUUUUGGCUUCUUUGAGUUUUAUUGACUAGGCUUUUAAAAGACACUUCUAGAGUUUUUUUGAUAAGAGUUGGAUGCCAGUUGUGGUGGAAUCCUUUGGAAAAGUGGGUAAGUCUUCUGUUUAUGGGGAAUAGAGGCAGUUAUUCAUAAUCCGCUAAGUUCAUAACCCAAUGCAAGAAUAUAUGAUGAUGGGCUGGUUUUGUUAUAAGAUCCAAUAUUAAUAUCUUAAAUACUGGACUGCUGGUUUGGAAGAAAAUAGGAAAAGGUAAGAAAAGAGUCUUCUUUCUGAGCUUGAAUCUUUCGAUGCAAAAACUAAACUCAAGGAGAUUUUUAAUCUUCAAUUUGAUAUAUAAUCUACAUUCAAAUGUGAAAUUAUGGAUUCAUAACUAUUGUUUUGGCUGUUUUUUCUUUCUUUUGUUUGAACUGUACUUCGAUUGUUUGCUUCUUUUCAUUUAUUCAUUGAAAAGUUUUGUUUCCUUUAAAAGAUAAACUAGUUGUGUUUUCGGUUAAUUUUUCUAUUUGUGGUAGAAUUUCUUGUAAUAUUUCUACUCUGAAUAUACUUUUGAAUGAUAGUUGGCUCCUUAUAUGAAAAAAAAUCAUCGGCUGCUUUAUGAAUCAUGUAGAAAAAUACCACCUUUUAAUAUUUUGCUGAUUAUACUACCUAGCAAAAUGCAAAUUCGAGUGCCUGCCUCCAUUUUAAAUUGAUAAACUUUCCAAUGGCAUGGUGCUUGUUUGUUGGAAAUGUUUUCGGUUUGAAUCAAUAAAUUCAUGGUUACAGUUGAAAAGCAAGAUUGUUGAAACAUGCUCAUGAUACCUGCAGAAAGAGCAUUAUCCAAGAUUGAUCGAAGAUGUUCAAUUGAUGAUAAAAGAGCUGGAAAAUGUAACUGUACUUUGGGAAGAGCUAUGGCUCAGCACACUUCAAGAUCUUCAGACAGGUGAGAAGCAUGAUUUUAAAUCUACAUAAUGACACUUUUACCUGACAUAAAUUAUUCUAUAAUGCAGAAAUUUGUUUUUGGUUGCCAACUCACCACAAUAAAUAUAACUUCAAGUUUGACCAUAAUUGACCUUUCACGUGAAAUUUAGGUGCCAAAUUUGACCUGUAGGUUCUGAGACUCAGGGAUAUCAUACCUGCUCUAUGAUUUGCCCAAGUUUCCGUUAUUACUGAAUUUCCUGCACUGAGUAGUUGCUGCGACAUAUUGUAACUAGCACUUCACCUUGGCAUGUUGUAACGUUCAAGAACAAUACCAAUUUGUAAAUUAUCCUUUAAUUGAACAUUUUUCUUUUGAUAAGAAACAACUAAGAUAUAUUCAGAAAAGUCCAACAGUCUAGGGUAAGGUUGAGACAACCCCCAAAGGCCAAAAAGAGCUAUACAAGGAGGGUCUUCCAAUCACUAAUACCAUCAAAAGGCUGUAAUUACAUAAGAAAUUAUUCUGUAAAUAUAUUCACCAAGAGGCCAUAUUUUGUGUCCUAUCACAAAAUUUUAAGAAGUGGAAGGGUGUAGAAUUAUCUUCGGAGGUUCUAGACUAGUUUCUUUCCUCCCAAAUAAGCUGCAAAAUGCUCUAAAGGUGAAACUACCCACCACUUUGGCCUUUUUCUUCAGAUUCUAAGCAGCCAGGCCUUCCAACAUCCAAUUGUCAAUGUUUUUAUGGAGACAAAACUGUAAACCCAGUAUUCCUGCAGCGAUCCAAUCUUGAUUGGCAAAAUCACAAUGCAAAAAGAGGUGGCCAAGGCCUUCUGCCUCUUUCAAGAGCAUUCUGCUUUCCAAAGUGGACAAAAACCACCUUCUAAACUUCCUUUGGAGUCUAUCAUCAUUGUUCAAAUUCCUAUAGGCUGAAGACCAAAACUUUAAUUUUCUGAUGGUUGUCAUGUUUUCAUGUAAGCGUAAUCGGAGCAGAGUUUAUGCUAUUGGGCUUGGAAGCAAGACUAAAGGUGGAGUUGGAAGAGUUUAUGUUACUUGAACACUAUCUGUUGUACAUCUGUCACCUUGAAUUAUGAGGAAUGCCAAUUUGUAAAUUAUUGAGAAUUUUGUUGAUUUGUUUUUCCUUAUACAAAGCAAAAGAUUGAGAAGUCUAUAUUUUGCAGAUGUUAUGAGACGCAUAAAUGUACUCAAGGAAGAAGCUGCUCGAAUUGCUGCAAAUGUCACUCUCAGCCAGAGUGAGAAAGACAAGAUAAAUGCUGCUAAGUACUCAGCCAUGAUGGCCCCCAUUGUGGUGGCUUUGGAGCGUCGUUUGGCUUCAACAUCUCGAAAACCUGAAACACCCCAUGAAACCUGGUUCCAUGAAGAGUAUAAAGAACAGCUGAAAUCAGCUAUUUUUACCUUCAAGAAUCCUCCAUCCUCUGCUGCUGCACUUGUUGAUGUAUGGCGGCCAUUUGAUGAUAUUGCAGCAUCUUUGGCAUCUUAUCAGAGAAAGUCAUCAAUUUCUUUAAAAGAAGUUGCACCGAUGUUAACUUUGUUAUCAUCAUCUGACGUACCAAUGCCUGGUUUUGAGAAGCAUGUUAUCUAUUCAGAAGCUGAUAGAAGCAUUGGCUCUAAUCUUUCAGGAACUGUUACAAUUGGUUCUUUCUCAGAGCAAGUGACUAUCUUGUCUACAAAGACAAAACCUAAAAAGCUUGUAAUACUGGGUUCUGAUGGUGAAACCUACACAUAUCUCUUAAAGGGUAGAGAGGAUCUGCGUCUUGAUGCUAGAAUCAUGCAAAUGUUGCAAGCUAUCAAUAGUUUCCUGUAUUCAUCUCAUUCAACUUAUGGUCAAUCUCUCUCCAUUCGCUAUUAUUCUGUAACUCCAAUUAGUGGUAGAGCUGGUCUCAUCCAAUGGGUGAACAAUGUAAUGAGUGUAUAUACUGUAUUCAAGUCAUGGCAACACCGGGUCCAGGUGGCACAACUCUCAGCAGUUGGUGCUAGCAAUUUGAAAAGUUCUGUACCUCCACAGCUUCCACGUCCGAGUGAUAUGUUUUAUGGUAAAAUCAUACCAGCACUCAAAGAGAAAGGCAUAAGGAGAGUGAUUUCACGUAGAGAUUGGCCUCAUGAAGUUAAACGUAAAGUUCUUUUGGAUCUUAUGAAGGAGGUUCCCAAACAACUUCUUUAUCAAGAACUCUGGUGUGCUAGUGAAGGAUUCAAAGCUUUCAGUUUGAAACUAAAAAGGUAUAACUAUUUUGGUUUGUGUUGUAACAUGCUAAACUUUCUUUCUGUCAAAUACAAACAAAGGGCUAAUUGGCAAAAAGUUGUUUUUCUUAUGCUUGCAUAUAGAAAUUUUUAGGUGAUUAAAGGUAUAAUUGUCCUUUCCCCUUUUCAGCAUUUUUCUUUUAUUUUUUUUUCAAAGGGGUAUUUUCCGGCAUGAUUUUAUUUAAGGACGUUUUCUACAGAAAAUUUUAGUUUAUCAAAGGAAUGAUUACCUUUUUUUUCUUGCUUCUUUCUUCUCCUUGAUCUUCUAUUUUUUUUCUCCUCAAAUUGUAAUUUUCUAUUUUUCUGUAAUACUUCUUUUCUGAACUACUCUCCAAUUACUACUGUUUUCAGCAUGAUUUUUAUUUAAGAUUGUUUGCCUUGCAAGUUGUAUUAUGAAAUAUAUAUUCUUCUUUUUUCUUGUAUUUGCUUAACUUUCUAGAAAGUAAAGUUUCAAUUAGGAUUUCUUUACAAAGAAAUAAAAUUUACUGGCAUGUUUGAAAAUCAGGUUUAACAACAGAAAACAUUUAAAAAAUAAAUAUAAUUAAUACCAUUUGUGUUUUCUUGUUUGGUAGAGUAUUUCAAAAACAAAUUUUUUGAAUAAAAAUCUGUAAAAAUAGUAUUUGUUGCAGAAAUAAGUACAAGGUAUUAGGUAUGUUUCCUCAGGAAAAAAAAGAACAUGAGACUUGAGAGUAAACACAGAAAAUAGGUGCAAGGUUUGAAGAAGAGAGAUCUUUUGUGAUAAAGGUAGACGGUGAAAUAUGUUUUGGAUGAUCCAGAGCUGAUAGUGGCUAGGAAAAUCUGAAAAUAACAUUCAGAACUUGUAAAUUUAAAAUUUGGAAUUGGUCAUGUUCAGUUCAUAAUUGCCUGCCAGCCAACAUUUUUGCGAUAAAACUAAAUUGAUGUUGAGCCAUUCUGUGACAGUUUUCCCUUCCUUUCAUUUCUUUUGAUUUGCAAUAAUCUAGAUUCAGUCUGCUAAUCUUGCAAGAUAUAAAAUUUGUUCUCUACUCAGGUAUGCUGGAAGUGUUGCAGCAAUGAGUAUGGUGGGACACAUCUUGGGCUUAGGCGAUAGACAUCUGGAUAAUAUUCUUAUGGAUUUCUCUACUGGAGAUGUUGUACAUAUUGACUAUAAUGUUUGUUUUGAUAAAGGCCAGAAACUGAAAGUGCCAGAGAUUGUUCCCUUUCGUCUCACCCAAACUAUGGAAGCAGCUUUAGGACUGACAGGAAUAGAAGGGACCUUCAGAGCAAACUGUGAGGCUGUGCUAGAAGUUCUGAGAAAGAACAAAGAUAUACUCCUAAUGCUGCUAGAAGUUUUUGUGUGGGAUCCUCUUGUGGAAUGGACCCGUGGUGAUUUCCAUGAUGAUGCCACUAUAGGUGGUGAAGAAAGAAGAGGCAUGGAGUUGGCUGUUAGCUUGAGUCUAUUUGCAUCUCGUGUGCAGGAAAUUCGUGUCCCCUUGCAGGUUCUAGUCAUUUCCACUGAAUGAUAAUUGCUUUAUUUCUAUUUUCCUCUCUUUAAUUAUAGUGUCUUUUCUGCUAGUAUUUCUAGUUCAUUUAUGCUUAUAAACCACCAAUCAAGUUCACCUAUAAAAGGUGUACAAAGAAGAUGACCAAUCAGCCAGAUGCUGUUGAGCCAAUCAUUUGAUUGUGUGAUAAUGUUGGCUAGUUUGAAUGGAAAUCAUGUAGGUGAUACCGACGAUAAAAGGGUCCUUGGAAGUAGUAGUUUGUUAUUGCUGUUUGUAUUAAGUUAACAGGGAGAGAGGUACUUGUAUGGGGGGAAAAAGAGAGAGAAGGAGAGGGUAAGCUGGGAGGGAUUCAGGACCAUCCAACUUCCUUAAGAACUAAUAAUAUUGAUUUGUAAGCCAUGUCUGAGAUUUUGACAUGCUUCAAGUCAAUUAAGUUAUUUGAUGUGUGCUAUUAUAUAUGUAUAACACCUAUUUCCUCAUUUAAAAGAUGGAAUUAUCUCUAUCACACCUUGAAAGUUCUUAAUUUUCAAAAUUCAUUUCUUAUUGUCCAGAAAAUUUUCAGUCCAUCUUGGUAGUGCUUUACUCACUCAGAAGUUAGUGAUCACAAAACAUAAAACUUGGACUCAUUACUGUACAAUAGAUGAAAUGUUCUUUUUUACCCCAAAAAAAAAAAAAAUACUGUACAAUAAUGAUUUAUUGAAUUGUGGAAUUCAAUACUAACCUAGGUUCCAUUAUAACUCUCUAAAUUUAAAAGAACUAAAAUGUUUUGAGUUUAUGUUUAAUAGAUUUUGCUUGUGCAAACUCAUUAUAACUCUUAACAUUUUCCAGGAGCAUCAUGAUCUUUUAUUGGCUGCCCUACCUGCUGCUGAGUCUUCUCUUGAGGUACUGUACUGCUUGACACUUGUAUCUUGUUUGUAAUUUCCUGAGCUUCUACCAUCUUCACUUGUUGCUUCCAUGAAUUUCUCUGAACCAAAUAAUCUAUUCCAGGGGUUUGCAAAUGUCCUAAAUCACUAUGAGCUUGCCUCUACGCUCUUUUAUCAAGCUGAACAAGAAAGAUCAAGCAUAGUUUUGCGUGAAACAUCAGCUAAGUCAGUUGUUGCUGAUGCAACAUCUAGUGCAGAGAAAGUUCGUACACUAUUUGAAAUGCAGGCUCGAGAGCUUGCUCAAGGUAAGGCUAUUGUUUCUGAGAAAGCUCAAGAGGCAUCAACCUGGAUUGAGCAACAUGGAAGAGUCCUUGAUAAUAUAAGGAGCAAUUUGAUUCCCGAAAUAGACAUGUGUUUGAAUAUGAGAGCAAUUGGAGAAGCUUUGUCACUUAUAUCUGCCGUUACGGUGGCUGGAGUUCCAGUGACAGUUGUACCUGAGCCCACUCAAGUGCAAUGUCAUGAUAUAGAUAGGGAGAUUUCUCAGCUUAUAGCUGCACUAAGCGAUGGACUUUCUUCUGCUAUAGCUACAAUUCAAGUUUAUUCUGUUUCUUUGCAGAGAUUUCUUCCUCUAAACUAUGUAACGACUAGUGUAGUUCAUGGCUGGGCUCAGGCUUUACAAUUAUCUAAGAAUGCCCUCUCCUCUGAUAUUAUUUCACUUGCUAGAAGACAGGCUACUGAACUUAUGAUGAAAGUAAAUGAUAAUAAUGAUUCUGUACAAGUCAGUCAUGACAAUAUGUGUGUUCAAGUGGAUAAGUACGCAAAGGAAAUUGCAAAAAUUGAAGAAGAGUGUACUGAGCUCUUGACCUCUAUUGGUACAGAAACGGAAUUGAAAGCUAAGGAUCGGCUUCUAUCAACUUUUACUAAAUAUAUGACGUCUGCUGGCCUUGUAAAGAGAGAAGCUAUUCCAUCUCUCCAGAUGGGACGAGUUACACAUGAUGGGAAAAAGGACAUCAACAUGCAGCUGGAGCUUGUGGCAGAAAAGGAGAAAAAGGAAAAGCUACUAUCUAGUAUUAACGUUGCUCUGGAUAUUCUAUACUGUGAGGCAAGAGGAAAAAUACUGGACAUUUUGAAUGAUAUGAAUGAUGGGAGACUAGUGAAUAGAACUACAUCUCAUGAUUUUAAUGUUGUUUUCUCCAAUCUAGAAGAGCAAGUGGAGAAAUGUAUGCUUUUGUCAGAGUUUCAUUCUGAAUUAUUGGAUUUGAUUGAUGUUAAGGUGCUGAGUGUUGAAAACAAAUAUAAAAGUUGGCAUAGGAAUCAUUCUCAUAGAAAUUGGACUUCUACUUUUGCUGUCAUGUUCUCUUCUUUCAAAGACCUGAUAGGGAAAAUGACUGAUGCUGUUCUACCUGAUAUAAUUAGAUCUGCUAUUUCGGUGAAUUCAGAAGUUAUGGAUGCAUUUGGGCUGGUCUCACAAAUUCGAGGAUCAAUUGAUACAGCACUAGAUCAGUUUCUUGAGGUUCAAUUAGAGAAGGCUUCGUUAAUUGAAUUGGAAAAAAAUUAUUUUAUCAAUGUUGGCCUCAUUACAGAGCAGCAGUUGGCCCUUGAGGAAGCUGCUGUAAAGGGCAGGGAUCAUCUCUCUUGGGAAGAGGCCGAGGAGCUUGCUUCAGAGGAGGAAGCUUGCAGGGCAGAACUGCAUCAACUCCAUCAAACAUGGAACCAGAGAGAUGUACGCAGCUCGUCUCUUGCAAAGAGGGAGGCUAAUUUAGUACAUGCUUUGGCUUCAUCGGAAUGCCAGUUUCAAUCUCUUAUCAGUGCUGCAGUGGAGGAGACUUUUACGAAAGGCAACACCUUAUUGGCCAAAUUAGUUAAACCAUUCUCUGAACUGGAAUCUAUUGAUGAAAUCUGGUCUUCCUCUGGAGUUUCUUUUUCAUCUAUCUCAAAUGGGAUUCCUACUUUGUCAGAUGUGGUGAGUUCUGGGUAUCCAAUAUCUGAAUAUAUUUGGAGGUUUGGUGGACAAUUAAGCAGUCAUUCUUUCUUUAUUUGGAAAAUUUGUGUUGUGGAUUCUUUCCUUGAUUCGUGCAUACAUGAAAUUGCUUCAGCCGUGGAUCAGAAUUUCGGAUUUGAUCAGCUCUUUAAUGUUAUGAAGAAAAAACUUGAGCUUCAGCUUCAAGAAUAUAUUUUUAGGUACCUUAAAGAACGGGGUGUUCCUGCAUUCUUGGCUUGGCUGGAUAGAGAAAGGGAACAUUUAAAACCACUGGAGGCAAGAAAAGACAAUUUCCAUGAACACCAUGAUGAACAAAUUAAAGAUUUGGAAUUUAUUGAGAGGAUCCGAUACAUGCUGCAGGAACACUGUAAUGUGCAUGAAACUGCCAGAGCAGCAAGGUCUACAGUUUCACUUAUGAGAAAACAGGUGAAUGAGCUCAAAGAAACUCUUCAGAAGACUAGUCUGGAAAUUAUUCAAAUGGAGUGGUUACAUGACAAUAGUUUGACUCCAUCACAAUUUAAUAGGGCCACCUUGCAAAAAUUUCUCUCUGUUGAGGAUAGGUUAUACCCUAUUAUUCUAGACCUUAGCCGAUCUGAAUUGCUGGGAAGUUUGCGAUCGGCUACUUCAAGGAUAGCUAAGUCAAUUGAAGGCCUAGAAGCUUGUGAGCGAGGCUCUCUUACAGCUGAAGCACAGCUGGAGAGAGCAAUGGGGUGGGCUUGUGGUGGCCCAAAUACUGGUCCGGUGAUAAAUACUUCUAAGGCUUCAGGGAUUCCUCCUCAAUUCCAUGACCAUAUCUUGAGGCGGAGGCAGUUGUUAUGGGAAACUAGAGAAAAGGUAUCAGAUAUUAUUAAGAUUUGCAUGUCUAUAUUGGAAUUUGAAGCAUCAAGAGAUGGCAUGCUUCAAUUUCCAGGAGACCAUGCUUUUAGUACAGAUAGUGAUAGCAGGGCAUGGCAGCAAGCUUACUUGAAUGCAAUAACAAGACUGGAUGUUUCUUAUCAUUCCUUUUCCCGUGAGCAAGCUUUUCUCUUUUAUGUUGAUGUUGUCUCAUUGCACUAUUAAGCCCUUUUGGUUCUAAAGAAAAAUUGUUUAGAUAUUUUUAAAAAAAUCCUGAAAUCCAGAAUAAUAUAAUAAUUAUCGUCAAAAUAUAUAGGUUCUGAAGAUAUAUGUGGUUUAUUAUCAAGCUUGAGAUAGUUACAAAGUGAAAGUUUAGUCCCUAGAUGAAAGAUAUAUUUUCUAGAAUUGUCCCCGGGAGUUAUAUUUUUAGAUAUAGUAUUUUUGGGGGUAGAAUUUGUUUCUUUAAAGAUGAUACUUGGGCUACAAUAAGGAAAUUUUUAUCUUUCAGGUUAACUGAUGAUUCCUUAUUCUUUGCGUCUUCUACUAGGUACUGAACAAGAAUGGAAGCUUGCAGAAAGAAGCAUGGAGGCUGCCUCAAACGAAUUAUAUGCUGCAACCAAUAAUCUUCGCAUUGCUAAUCUUAAAAUGAAGUCCGCUUCAGGUCAUGCAUCUUUCUGUUAUUUAAGCUGAGCAAGUACAUAGAUAUAUACACAAGCAUUACACAUUUUCCUCAUUUGACAUUUGACAUACGCAAGUUUUUAUCUUUAUGGUUUAUGCACUAAGAUUAUCCUUGUAUACAAUAUUUUCAACAGUACCUUUUGCUCAUUGCUUGAACAUAUUGGCUGUCUUUGUAGGUGAUUUACAAAGCACUCUUCUCAGUAUGAGAGAUUGUGCAUAUGAAUCAAGUGUUGCACUCUCAGCAUUUGGUAGUGUCUCAAGGAACCACACUGCAUUGACCUCUGAGUGUGGUUCUAUGCUUGAAGAGGUAACUGAAUAUAUCUAUGAAGCUCAGGAUUUGAUUUGAGGUGAUUGUGUCGCCAGCAAUAUUUCUGGAUUUGUUGUCAGGAUGUUGUUCCUUCAAAAGGAAAUCAGCAAGUCCUAAAAGGCACCUGCAGGCUUCAAUUUCACUAAUCUCUUUUACAGAAGACGAUAAUGGUUAACAUGGGGCCAACCUGAACAUAGCUCUGUUGAUUUGAAUCAACUUUUAUCAUAUCUCUGAUUGCCAUCAAUUCAUCUAAAAUAAUCGAUAUAUUAUUCUAUGCACAAUGCAUCCAUCUUUUUUUUGUAGGCUUAAAUUUCAGUAAUCUCUUGUAUGGAAGAUGAUAACUGUGAUUAACAUGAGACCAAUCUGAACAUUACUCAAUUGGUUUAAGCAUAUACCUUCGAUUUGAGAGGUCAAUGAUUGAAUCACCCAACAAGAUGUUAAACUGAAAAAAAAUAUGGUUGUGGGAAGCAAAAUAAAAUCGUUAAAGAUUUUCUAUGCUUUAUAGAUGAUUCUAAAAUUUGCUCUCAUUGGCAUCUUUUCCUUCACCUGUUUAUAUGAUUUUUUAAUUGUUUGCACUUAAGAUUGUUUGAUCUCUUUUGAUCAAGUAUAUGACAAAGUUCUUUUUCUGUUCAAAUGCAGCUAAUAUUUCUACAUUUCCUGUAGGUACUAGCAAUAACCGAAGAUCUGCAUGAUGUUCAUAAUUUGGGAAAGGAGGCUGCUGUAAUUCAUCGUCAACUUAUUGAAGACAUUGCGAAGGUAUUUUGAUCAAUCAUUUACGUGACUAAAUCCCAGUCUAUUUAAUCUAGACAUUCGUGCUGCAGAGCAUGAUAGAGUAGUCUGCUUCCAACUGUAGUCAGCUUAUAGCAUUCCCCAUGUGAAUUGAUACUGGUUAUGGUAUUUCCCAUUCCAGUGCCAUUGUUUGCUUAUUGUUUCACUUCUUAAGCAGGCAAAUUCAGUCCUCCUUCCCCUUGAGGCAAUGUUAUCCAAGGAUGUUGCUGCCAUGAUUGAUGCUAUGGCUAGAGAAAGAGAAAUCAAGAUGGAAAUAUCACCUAUACAUGGACAAGCUAUAUAUCAGUCCUAUUGUUUGAGAAUUAGAGAGGCCUAUCAGAUGUUCAAGCCUUUGGUCCCUUCUCUGACAUUAUCUGUGAAGGGUCUGUAUUCCAUGUUUACCAAGCUUGCACGAACAGCAGGUCUCCAUGCUGGAAAUCUUCAUAAAGUAUGAAUGGAGUCUAUAGUUCAGCUCGUUGAUUUCAUGAAUUAUUUUACAAUGCUUCUGAUGUUACUGAAUUUCCACCAAAUGUGAAAUCUACUUUUUCAGGCUCUUGAAGGACUAGGAGAAAGCCAGGAAAUUAAGUCAGAGGGAAUUCACAUAACUAAGUCUCAGUUCAAUAGUGAAGUAGAUGCAGUUGACUUCGAAAAGGAGAGAGAAAGCCUCUCCUUGUCUGAUAGUGAGAGUAGCGGAGAUAUCCCUGAUAUUACCAGACUUUCUUUGCAAGAUAAAGAAUGGUUAUCUCCACCUGAUAGCUUCUGCAGCAGCAGCUCUGAGUCUGACUUCACCACUAGUAGCUUUCCAGAUAGCUCCAACGACCUAACAGAGGAUAUGGGUCAACACUAUAACGGGUCUAGUGACAGAGAAGCUAGAGUUAUUCCAAAAAUUACCUCAUUUUCUCAAACUGACGUUGGAAAAAUGUUACGUUUGGAGGAGUCAGAAACAAAAUCCACAGAUGGUAGCCAAACCUGUUUUAGAAAGUUAUCAACCAAUGAGUUCAAUGGAGGAAUUAAAAUUGUUGCAACACCACCUGAUGAAUCUAUUGAAGUUCCUGCUAUUGCGUCACAUCCGUUGAAUGAGACUGUUGAAAGACUGGAGGAGGAAAGUGGUGUAACCUCAUCAGAUAAGAGAUUAGAAGAUGAAAAUCAAGAGGCUCCUCCAGCUCAGAAGGCUGCUUGGAGUCGUGCAAGCAGGGGUAAGUAGUGUACCUUCACUCAGACACAUAUCUAUUAUCCUUAAUUCCCAAUUAGCGUUUCCACUGCUGCACUAGAUGAUAUUUAUGAUUACAUGUUUUAUUUAUUGAUCGAUGUUCUUAAUGUUUUCAUUAUUUUAAAUUAUGCAUAUGUGGAUAGGGGAAUUAGCUAUUUUAGAACGGAAAACUAUCACAAAGAAUACAACUGUAAGGAAUCUCCACAAGAGUCGCAAUAUAUUAUCACGAUCCCAAAAUUCAAAGUUCAUACCAGUUCGAGAGGGUGGAUAUCUCCUUGCUGUAUCACCAUCUAAUACAAAAGAUAACAUAACCCAAAAUACAAUGACUAAAAAUAUUAUGUUGUUUUGUUUAUCUUGUAGUGUGCUUCUAAUGCGUAUUAAAUCAGAACUACUGUUCUUUAUUGCAUAUAAAUUAGCCUCAGUUCCUUGCUUUACUUUCGGAUUCAGUAAAAUUUGCUUUUGAUUAUUGGAAAGUCAGCACAAUUUUCUUGUAUAUGAGCUUUGCAUUCAGAGGGAAAACUGAAUCGUCCCCAUUUGAUGUGGCAUUGCAUAUUUCAUUCCAAAAGUUGAAGUCUUGUGUUAUGGUCCUCUCAGGUAGAAAUGCAUACGCAACGUCUGUUUUACGGCGUGUAGAGAUGAAACUCAAUGGAAGAGACAAUGUCGAUAACAGGUACCUACUCUUAACUUGGCGCUGUUGACAAUCUCUAUGCUGGAUUUCUAACUAUCUUUUAACUAACAGAGAACUUAGCAUUGCUGAGCAAGUGGAUUAUCUACUUAAGCAAGCAACGAGUGUAGACAACCUGUGCAACAUGUAUGAAGGUUGGACCCCAUGGAUUUGAAAUUUGAAGACCGAGGAAUCUUGGAUACCUGUACUGAUGGAUGGUUAGCAGAGGUUCGUCGAGAAAUACUAGCACCAGAUUCAUUAAUCCAGAACUUGGAAGAACAUGCUGGGGUAUGUUCAAAGUUACUACCAUGCGGGACCUCUUGUUUGCUGCAUUGGUUCGCCCUACAGCUGGAUUCAUUUCAUCAUAUGAAUUAUUCAGUCACAGUGUGAAAGAAAGUAACAGCGAUUGCUCGAAAAGCUGCGCAAGAUCCAUCUUGGCAUUUCCAUUACUGAGCUGUGCACAUGAACUAUUGACGAAGUGUCCAAACAGCGUUCACGUUCUUCACGUUCCAAUAUGCUGCCCCACGCAAGGUCGAGGGCAGGUAAUAUGGGCCACGUCUGGGGCUUCAAAGUUAUAACGAAACCAAGCUUUGGUCCAUUUGGCAUCUGAGAUGUUGCUUGGGAAUAUUGCAAUGUUGAUGCUGAGGAGUUGUGGGUUUUUGGUAACGAGCUAUUUACUGCGUGGAUAAUCUGAAGAAGGUAGAACAUCACUUCCGCAGAAGAUGAGAAAUUGCAUAAUGUAAUGAAUUAUUGUAUCAUUUAGGAAAAUGAUUAUUUAGCCAUUCAAAUAGGUUAUAUACUUUAUCCAUAACUGUGAAAAUUGGAAUGUAAAUGUAGACUGUAAAUGUCAUGAUAGUUUGUCACUCUUUGUUUUGUUGGGUUUUUACUUAUGUAUGGAUGUUAUGUGAUGUUAUUGAAGGCAAGUUGAUUAAUUUGGUCAAAUAAUUACAUUUUUUUUCAUGCCAGAAGAAACACCAUUUAGUAUAUUUUCAAAGUUUAUAACAAGAUUAUGCUAAUGAAAUUACUUAUUACUUAUGCACUACACCCAUCAAUUUAUCUGACUAUUUAUUUUUUUCAAAAAAGUUUUUAAAAUUCUUUUUUAAGUGAACAAUAUAUAAAUAGGUACAAUCCAACUUACAAUGUCCACGUCACCAACAAGGAUAGACUUGAAGUGAAGUAAUGAAUCCACAAGCAAAUGGUUUAGUCUCUUCCUAUGGGAAGUGAAGAAUCUCCCUUUUCCCAUAGAAUAGAAUUAAAAAUCCCUUUUCCCAUAGAAUAGAAUUAAAAAUCCCUUUUCCCAUAGAAUAGAAUUAGACAAACAAAUUAAAUGAAACUCAAAACUCAAAACUCAAAACCAACCAAUUCUAACAGUUUGUUAAGCACACAGAUAUAAAUCCAGUUUUUUGAAGCUUACUCUUUAAGUGAUCUUAUUUAUAUUGAAACUCUCAUGUUCCUCUAUUUUCCAUCAUCGCAAAUAUAUUUUCCUCUACUUCUUACUCUAGAUUCUAUUACUCCUCGUCAUGUCGGGGCUCGUAGACCUAUGGACUUCUGAGCAGGCUAAACUCCGCCACGAGGGUGGCUCCUCCCCCGCCGCUCCCACCGUUGAUGUGGCUGAACAAGGAAGAUGGAACUCCACUGAGUUAACUCGAGUUUGGGACCGAGUAAGACGACUCGGUAUGAAUGGGAAGAUGUGUUCUGAAGCUUCUGUUUGUAUGUUGGUUGAAUUUAUGAGUCCAUAGAGAUUCAAAACAUCUCACUGUACAUAAAACACUUUCAAUAAAACUUUCCUUUUUCAAUAUCUAUAAUUUGCCUUUAGUUACUUGGGUUAGAGAAUACGAGUAUUAUAUAUCAAUUCAAUUAUGUUCCUUUUGGCUUGAAAUACUAUUUUUAAUAUAACUAUGCGGUGGGGUGGGAAUUGAACUUUCGACCUUACCUUCAAUUUCAAGAAGGUUUGAAUCAAGAUUUGCCAUUUCUUCAACUUUCACUUUCACUACUAUCAUCCCAUGUAGCCUUCAUUGUCUUCUUCUUGGAUUUCUUAGAUGAUUUGAGGAGAGGACAAUCCGUUCUUAUAUGACCCAAUCUUUUGCAUUCAUAACAAAUCACCUCAUCUUUUUUGCUUUUCUCACCUUUUGACUCUUUUUAGAUUGAUAGGUGUUUCUUGAAAUAUUUCUUUCUUUUUAUGAAACUUUUGUAUUUACGUGAGAAAUAAGCAAUGUCAUCUUCAUCAAGGCCAUCCUCAUCUUCGGGAUCAACUUUCAAGGAGAUAGUCUUUAAUGCAAUGGUCUUUUUCUUUUUUGACUCAUCCUCCAAGUGUUCAUUCAUGAUGAUCUCAUGAGUCAUGAGUGAGCCAAUAAGCUCCUCUAGUGGAAGUUUGGUGAGAUCCUUUGCUUCUUGAAUUGCCGUUACCUUAGCUUCCCAAGUCUUAGGUAGAGACCUUAGAAUUUUUCUAACAUUUUCAGAAGUUGUAUAAACUUUACCAAGACCCUUCAAAGCAUUUAUGAUGUUAGUAAAUCUAGUAAACAUAUCGGUGAUAGUCUCAUUAGCAUCCAUCUUAAACAAUUCAUAAUUAUGAACAAACAUGCUAAUUUUAGACUCUUUAACUUGAUUUGUUCCUUCAUGAGUAAUUUCAAGAGUAUUCCAAAUUUCUUGAGCGGAAGAACACAUGGAUAUUCUAUUAAAUUCAUCUUUACUCAAGGCACAAUACAAACAAUUAAUAGCCUUAGCAUUUAAAGAACACUUUUUCAUUUCAUUUUCAUCAUACUCUUCUUCUAAUUUAGGCGUAUCAACAUUAUCAACAUUUUUCAUGGGUACAUAAAGACCUUUAGCAACAAUUAACCACAAAUUAUAGUCAAUAGAUUGCAAAUAAAUUUUCAUUCUUGCUUUCCAAUAUGCAUAAUUUGAAUCAUCAAAAUAAGAAGGUCUAGAAAUAGAUUGACUUUCAACAAUCCCAUUUGCCAAUAGGUUUGCUAUAAUGCUCUAACAAGAAAGUUUAUCAAGAAAUUAAAAUUUCAAGAUGAGCAACCUUACUCUGAUACCAAUUGUUGGAUCGGUAUGGCAGCCCUAGAGGGGUGAAUAGGGUUUAAAUAAACUUUUUGACAAAUAAAAAGUAAAAUCAACUAAUUAGAUAUUUUUUUAAUUUAAAUGAUUGAAAAACUUUGUAAACUUUGUUAAAUAAUCAAGAUUGAUAAAAAGAUAUGAAUGGAAGUAUACAAUCAAACUCAACCAAUAAGAAUAUGUAACUAAAAUUAAAUUAAAAAAUAAUUAGAAAAGAGUUAGAGAAGAAGACACCGUAAUUUUAUAGUGGUUCGGUUAAACUCAACCUACAUCCACUUUCCCAAGCACCUCUUGGGAUUUUGAUUGAAAAUCUUCUUUGGACUCUUUCCACGGAUUUGAGCCGAACCGAUUCUUGCUCCUUUUUCGGGUUCAAGAGCAAACCCGAUCCUUUCCACGGGUUAGGAUCCAACCGUUACAAUAUGUUGAAAUUUUUAAAUCACACAAAAGAAAACUCUCUAAAAGAGUGAGUAUACAAUUUGAAGCUCACAAAUUUAAUCCUCACAAUACAAUAAGAAGCUCUCAAGAAUAAGAUGAAAAGAAUAAAAAUUGGAAGCUUUAGGGAGAAUAACAAUGUUGGUUUUUUGCACUUUUUCAGGAUUGUAAAGAUUUAAUGAUCUUGUGUCUUUUUAAAAUUUGGGAAAAGUGAAGUAUUUAAAAAGAGAGAAAAGAUAAAUUCAAAAUCAUUUUGGGUCAUUAGAUAUAAGUAAAAGAAAAAUAAAUGAUUGAGAUUUAAACUCAAUUAGCCGUUAGACACAAUACAAAUAAUAAUAUAAUAAUAUGGCUUUUCAAAAUACUUUGUUUAAAAAAAAACCAAUAAAGCAACUUCACCAUUUUUUUUAAAAAAAAACUAGCCGUUAGACAAGGAAAAAUAAUAAUAUUAAAGUCAUUUUCUUUAUAAAAGCCAGUAAAACAUAACCAAAAGCCACAUUUGUUACUCCUUCAUUGCUCCAAGUGGCUUUCUCUAAUUGGUUCAAAUUGAAUGCUUGGUCGCCACGUCACCAUCUCGGGUAUUUUUUCGUUAAGCUUCUUUUAGCAAUAUUUUCUUCAUUUGAACUUCGAUUUGGGUGAUUCAAGAGGCGUUAGAAUCAUUUUUCCAAGCUCUACGAUAUGGUCUAUUCAAAUUAAUAAAAUUGUCAAUAAAAAAAAUCAGAUUUGUUAUCAUCAAAACAUAAAUUAAUUGAAUAAUUAAAAUAAAUUAAUUUGAGAUUAAGGGCCAAAAAGCCAACAAUCAACUCAAGUGAGAUCUUUAAAUAAGAACCGAGAUAACAUACUAAAAUACCUAAAAGGAAACGAUUGCUAGCCUACUCAAUAUGCAAAUGACAAUAAAAACAUAAUUUGUAAACAACAGUAAGCAAUAUUCACCUUAUUUUUCAUGAUGGCUUCCAAAGAUAUGAAAUGUGAAAGGAAAGAAGAGAAAACUCAAACAAUUGUAGAAAGUUUCUUGGGAGUUGGUGGUGAAACUUCUUGAGAUAACCAUUUCAUUUUUCAAUAUAACAAUUAUAUUUUCGGUUAUGAGAGCAUUUUCGUCACAACUGAAAAAUUAAAUCUGGGAUGCAUGUUACUAUAUUCACAAAAACUCGAGCAAAUCUCCAACAUACAAAUUAUAUUAUAUCUUGGGAUCGAUUAUGGUCGAGAUUUUUCGAAAAAAACAAAAAUGUAAUUUUUUUUAAACUAUGCUACUUUUGAAAUGUAAAACCUAAGCUGUGUUGUUUUUGUCAAUUUGUCAUUUUUUUUCUUACAAAAUUUCAUGUAAUGUUUCAUGAAACAAAAGGCAAAGCAAAAACAUAUCUAAAAUCAAAUCACAAACUCAUUUAUAAAUUUAUACAUAAUUUAUUGAGAAGCACAUGUUUUGAUUUAAUUUAAGAACAUGCGUUGAUUUUCUUUCUAGUAGGAUAAAAAAAAGUUCCAAAGAAGUUUAAAAAGUCUAACUUAAACGGACCAUAAAUCUACCUGUGAUUUUGUUUUUGGAUAAUUAAGGAUUUGUAGAAUUUUUUUAAGAAUAAUAAUUAAGUGUAGAGCAACAUUUUCAAAAUAUUGUAAAUUUAGCAAACUCAAAAUGGUUAUCGAGUGAUGGAUAUAUUAUAUUUCUAAUAGAUUAUUUUGACAGAUUUAACUAUAUUUGUAAUGUUUUAAGAUGUUGUUAUUUAUCCUAACAUUUUGAAUCUAAUUAUUAUGGUUUCAACUAUCAUAUGUGUUACUUUUUAGUAGUAUAAAUUUGGGUAAAGAAAUUUGAACGAGGUACGAAUCUUUAAGUUUUAGCUGUGAUGAAAUUUAUACAUAUACCAUCCAAAUUUGAUCUUUUUAAAUGAUAUUUUUUUUGAGUUGACUCAAUUUUAGUAUCAAUAUACUUUUAUAAUUCAAUUAUAGUCCUCCUACUUUCAAUAAAUUUUAAAUUUCACUACUAUGUAAAGAAAUUUACAUGAAAUUUAAAUAAAUGUCAUGACCAUUUUUACAUGAAUAAUUAAACAAUUGACUUUCAUGCAAACAAAUAUAGUAUGUGAAAUAUAUUUUCAAAAUUUAUAUAUAGUAAAAGGUUUUUAAAAAUGAACAAUAAAACUAGCUUUAUCGUUGGCUAAAUUUAUGAUUUAUUGAAAGUGUGCGUGGAUAAAAGUUAGAUAAUUGAAAAUGUAAGAACUAAAAUAUAACAAUUUUGAAGAUAUAGGGACGAAAAUGAAUUUUAACCGUCAUCAUUAAUAUAAAUUAAAAUGAUUAAUAAUAAUUUUAGUUAACAAUGUUCUACAUUAUAUAUUCCAAUUCGGAGUAUGAUUGUGUCAUUACUACUAUUCAUUACAAUAUUAUUGUACCAAAGGAUUAAAAUACUGAUAUGUCAUUGUUGAUAUCGAGAUUUCAAUUUUAUGAAUAUAUUAAUAAAAUAUCAAUAUCGACACAUAUUAAUUUCUAAAAGUUACAAAUUUUUUAAAUUUAUUUAGAUUAUUAAUUUUAUUUUUAACCCAAAACUAAGUUAUAUCCAUACAGUUAUUAGUAUAUUAAAUUUAUAUUAGAAAUAUUAGAUGUAUAUAUUGUCUUUUACGAGCAUUUAUUAAAGAUGUUGGAUAUAUCCAUAGAUAUUUAAUAUAAUUCAUAUCUAACUCAUUGACUUACAAAUCCAUCCACAAAUAUAUCGCAUAUGCAUGGAUAUAUUUUAAUCCUUCGUUAUACCUUCCUAAACAAAACAAAUGCAUAACACAUCUUUCUUCCAACAAUGAAAAAUUUCUUCCAGGUAAUAAUCAAUGUUAUCAAGGACAAAAGGUACAAAAGAUGAAUAAAUAAACACAAAUAUAUUUUUGUUUAAAAGUUUCAAAUUAAGAUUAUACAAUGUUAUUGAAAUACUAUUUGUAUUCCUUUUUUCGAUCAAAUGUAACAACAACAAUCUUUUUCAUUCGAAGAGCCAUCUAACUUGGGAUAGCAAAACCCACCAUUUUUUGUCUGUUUGAGACAAUCAUUAUUACACGAAACAUUAUCGUCUGGGUUUGAGCAGGGUUUUAUACAACUCAUGAAUAUAUCUCCUUUUGCUGCCAUAUGAUAAAAUACCAAUAUUGUUAAUAAUAUAUUUUUCAAUUGAAAGAACAUAACAUUAUGAAACUAUUAGAAGGAUUAUGAGAGAAAAACAUACUUGAUAAGACAAAACAUGUGAAUAUCAUCAAGAUAACGAUGAACACCGUAAAAUUUUUCUGAUUUGCCAUGUCCUUUAGAUGUUAUUAACGUGUUUAAAAAAGUUCGAGGAGAACUAAUUUAUAGUAUCUUAGCAACAAUAACUAAAAAACGGUACGGUGCUAAAUAUGUCGUUAAAAACUCAAAUUGAUUUUGUUAAUUUAGUUUAUAAAAACUAAAGUCUAUAUGGAAUUUUUAGAAAAAUAGAAAGAGAUUGGUAAUUGAGACUAUUUUUAGAAAAAAACUGAAAUGAUAAAUUACACAUGAAUUGAUCCUAAAAGUCAUCUGAAGAAAAAUAGGGUUAGCAAUGUGAGGGGGAAUGGUAAAAAAAAAGAAAAGAAAAAGAAAAAACCAAAUCGAUCAAUUACAACCCACUAAAGAUCCAUAGCAAGCCAUCAAACUAAACUACGAAUGUGAUUGAUAACUCCCUCAUAAGUGAGUUAUUAAGUCCCAAAAGGCUUGACUAUCAAGUAUAAAACAUGUGCAUGUCUUGUUAUAUUUGAUCACUUUAUGACUAAUUUUAUGCAAAAAACCAAGCUACUCAUGCAUGUCUUUUUGAGCCUUGAUUAGCAAAUUAGUAACGUAAAUUAUGUACAAAAAGAGUCCAAUCUUUAGUAAUUCUUGAGUUUAUAUAUCAUUUGAAAUUGUUGCUGUAAUUUUUAACAAAUAGAAAGUUCCAAGAUUUUUGAGAUACGUUCAUUCUUUUCAAAUUCAAUAAAAUCAUAUAAAAAAAUUUGCAUUUGAAUAAUUUGAAUAUAUUCAAGCUAAAUCGUGUAGGAAAAAGUUGCAAGGUGUUCUAGAGAAACAUUAUUUUCUUGAAAAUCUUUAAAAGACGUCGUUUCUGCUUUCCAAUGCAUCACUGAACAUCAAACUCAUGCUAUCUAGAAACUCUAGCUACCGUUUUACAUGUUACAUCAUUCACAGUUAAUAACCAUACCCUAAUAUAAUGGCCGUUGUUGUUUUUGAUUCUUUUCAUCCUUUUCAAUUUUCUUUUGGGUGCUUUCUUUACAAGAACAAGCAUAAGUACUAGCCAUUAUUCAUCUUGAAAGAGAGCUUAGGAAGAUCAAUAGGCAAGUUGAGAAUUUAUCUUGUACUUUUACAUCUCACAUAUUUCAUACAUUCGUUUUCAUCCAUUUAUAAUAUGACUUCUUCUCUUCUUUGCUUCUUGAGUUCCUUAUUUUUCAUUAUGAGCUAAACAUCAUUUUAGGAUUAAGGAUAUACUAAGAAUGUAAUAAAUCCUCCACACGUGUCCUAUUUAAUUACCUUGCUCAACAUUUAUUUUACCUUCGAUUUUAUUGAUUUUAUGCAUUUUUUGAAUUUUGAUUAUCACAUAAGUUGGCAUAUAAUGUUGAGUCUUGUAUCAAAAUAGUUAGAUAAUAAAAUGAAUUAAGAAAAAUAAUAUAGGACAAACAGCUAGAGCCCUAGAAAUAGGGUAUAAUGCCUAUAUGAUCAAUAUUGAAUUGGAGUUAACCAUAUCUUAAGUUGUAGUUAGUCAUAGAAAUAGGUGUUUCAUUGCAUAGUCCUCUAAAUGUUCUUCUUUAUGGGAGUUGGCUCCAUUUGAUUUGGUUAAGUGUCUACGUUGUGUGCACAAUCUCUGAUCGCAUAUAGUUUAACUCCGUUUGUUUUUUUGGGGUCGAUUCUGGCUGAGAUUGCCUGAGAAAAACAAAAAUGCAAGUUUUUUUUUUAAAGUGCGCCACUUUUAAAAUAUAAAACUUAAACUGUGUCGUUUUUGUCAUUUAUUUCUUUUUUUACAUAUUUUGUCAUUUAUUUUCUUUCCAUGAAACAAAUGGAGCAUAAAUAUAUACAAAAUUAAAUCACAAAUUCAUUUAUAAAUUUAUACGUGAUUUAUUGAGAAGCACACAUUUUGAUUUAAUUUAAGACAUGGGUUGAUUAUCUUUCUAGUUGAAUAAAAAAAGUUUCAAAUAAGUUUAAAAUGUCUUUUAACUUAAAUGUACCAUAAAUCUACGUAAUUUUACUUUUGGAUGAUUAAUGAGAGGUAGCAAUUUUAGAAACAAUAAUAAAGUAUAGAUUACUAAAAUUUCAAAAUAUAAUAGAACACUAAAAUUUCAAAAUAUAAUGUUGUAAAUAUAGCAUCUCAAUAUGGUCAUCUAGUGAUGGAUAUAUUAUAUUUUCUAAUAUAUUAUUUUGGUAGAUUUUGACAUAUUUAACUAUAUUUACGACGUUUUAAAAAUGUUGUUAUAUAUGCUAAUAUUUUGAAUCUAAUUGAUAAAAAUGUUAAUAUAUACUUAAUUAUUAUUCAUAAAAUUGGUAUCCAUUAUUAUUACAUAAAAAAAUGUCAAAAAUAACAAAUUUAACAAAACAUAGCAAAAAAUUUCAGACUUUAUCACAUUGAUAGCAAUUGAUAAGUUUCUAUCAGUAACAUUGUAGAAAUCUAUCGGUAAUAGAUUUCAAAAUUUUGUUAUAACUUGUAAAUAUUUUAAUUUAUUUUACUAUUUUUAAAAAUGUAUUAAAAAAAUAUUGUCUAAUAAUUACUUUUUUGUUUCGUGGAGUUUGAAACAUACCGACAUAUUUAUUUCAUCAAUAAUAAUAAUAGGAAAAAUAUCCCAUAUCAAUAUCUUAUUGAUAAAUUAUAUUAAUCAAGUUAGAGCUCUUUAAAACUAUAAAAAUUUAAUUAAAAUUAUGUUCAAAUGUAGAUUUUGUUACUUUGAUCCUUUUGUACUUAGGAUCAACAUUUUGAAAUGGAUUGUACUGAAGAUGGGAUGAUGAAACAAUCUAUAUCAUUAUUACAAAGAGGCAAAUGGCUAAAGUAGGGUCACUUUUGAAUGUUCAAUUUAGACACUGACUUGGUGUUGGGGAAGGAUGAAAACAUUAGCAGACAUGUGGAUAUACUUGAUGAUAUAUCUAUAAAUUAAAAUAUAAUGUUUGAUAGUGAUAUUAAAAUAUUCACGGAUAUCUCCCACAUCUUCUAUCAAUAAUAAUGCUUCUAAAAUAUAAAAAAUACCAUUCUAAUGGUCUAGAAAUGUGAAUAAGAAAUAUACUAAUAACAAUAUCCAUAACUUAGUAAAAACAACUUAAUUAUUAGUCUACUUAUAAAAUCCAUUAAUAUAAGAAAAAGAAAAUUGAAAUCUUGAUAAUAAUAAUAUCGACAUCAAUAUUUUAAUUCUUUGUAGGUCAAUACCAUAUUGGUUAGAAAAGAGACUUUAUGAUUAUGGUCGAGUAUAUUUUAAUUGGUAUGAGAACUUUUGGAUGGUUCUAAAAGUAAUAUCACAAAAAUGUUUAUAUCCAUAAACAAUAUCAUAUCAUUGUAGAGAUAGAUGAAAUGUUUUAUUGUCUACUGUGAUUUGUCCUCGAUCAUAAAGUUUUAUAAGUAAAUUGGAUAAGACUCGACUUUUCCUUUGUUUUUGUUUUGUGUUUCUAUUCAUUAUUGUGUUAUUUGUUUUCUAUCUACCAAAAAAGGGGACUCCUUUUAGUUUGAAAAAGUGCAAGGGUGAGAUUGAAAUGAUCCCUCGAAGUAUUUUAUAGUGAUAUUUUAUUUAUCGUAUUAUAGUCCAAUCAUAUCACAAAAUAUAUAUAUAUAUAUAUAUAUGAAAAUAUUCCAAUAAUAUCACUUAUAUCACCAAUAUGUUAACCCUAUGUCAUUAAUAUUCAUUAUUAAACUUUUGUUUCCUUAGACCAAUAGUUGUGAUGGUUUCUACGUACCUACUUUUUGUUAUGUAUAGAAGAUAUAUAUUAGCUCUAUGUAUGGAAGACGUGAGGGAUAAAAGGUAAAUCAUUAAUAAUCAGACAACACCCUAAGUUUAGGAUUCUUCUUCUUUAGAUUUAGUCACGAUUCAUCCAUGUUCCACUCUUAGUUAAACAUAGAGCUUUAUUGUUGAUGAAAAUUUUCUAAAAUGAGUUUUUCUAAAUAUGUACAACAUUUAAACAAAUCAGUUCUAUUUUAAUAAUUAAAAUCGUUGGGGCGUUGAGCUCUAAUUAGGCAUUGGUUGAUGCGUCACUUAAGUGAGGUCUUGUGAUAGGACAACAUUUGAUGCAUUCCUUAAGUGAGGCAUUGUGAUAGGACGACCAUUGAUGCAUCACUUAAGUGAGGCGUUGGGAUCAACUAAUGAUCGUUGAAAACCUUACACAUUGGAAAGACUUGAUGUGUUCUUAAUUGAACGUUGAGGUCAACUAUAAAUGAUUGAGGCCAACUAUAUAUAAAUUAUUGAGGCAUUAUACAAUAAACUCAUGAUUGUUUGAACUCAAUCUCUAAACAAAGAGCUUCUCUUUCUCACAAUUUCUCUCAAUCUUCUCCCUCUCUAUUCUUGGUUUUUGAUUAAAAAAAAAGUGUUUUGGCUAGUGUAGCUACAAUCGAAAUUUUGACGCUCUAAGCAGUGCCGCGAAACAUCUUAAAAUUGUUUAAUCUUGAGAACUUUUGCUUGUUUGUUCUUGAACCACAUUUUAUUGGAAGAAGUUUCACAUUAUUAUACCAUAUGUAACAUCUUAGACUCAUUAUUCGAAAUUCAAAUUUGACACAUAAAAUUGCCUUGACAUCGACUCAAUACCAUCUAAAUAAAAUAAUUCAAAAUUUUGCAACAUUUCCAUUGCUAUACAACCUCAAGUGGUGCAAUAUAAUUAAGAUGGAGACAAUGGUAGUGAGAGAGGGAAAGUCGAGGAGUUUGGCCAUUUUUGAAGGUUAAUUUGUUUGAUUACUAUAAGGUCUUCGGGCGGCCAAUACUUUGUAUAAUAAUGCCAUUCUUAUGUGUCCUUUUUCAACUUAUAUGAGACAAUUUUUUUCUUUUUUUUGAAUAAUUCAACCAAAUAUUGAAUUUGUAACACAGUUUCUAGGAUCUUGACGAUGAAAUUGAUAUCACAUGUUAAAUCUUUCAUCUCUUUUAUCUCUAUCUCUAUCUCUACUAUAUUCAAAGUGUAAGUUGGGAGAAUUUUUACAUUUCCAUAUUUACUGAUUCUCAUUUCGGGAUUAAAGAACACCAAUGGAAUCAAAAUUUGAGUGAAGAACAACUUUAAUUUUAUCUUCCAUCAUUCGCUUACUUGUGAUUUUCUCUACUAAACUCUUGCACAGGAUUUUUAAAAGAAGAAAGCAUAAUGCAAAAACUGCUACUGUGAAACAUUUCAUUUAUAAAAAGUUGGCAUCCUUUCCAUAAAGAAUUAAUAGUGGUACGAAUGAAAGGGGUGAAUAAGAAAACCAAUUACACAUAUUUAUGUGAAAAGGUGGGCGUUAUAACACAUCUUUGAAAGAGUGGAGAGUAAAAUAAGUAACUUUUUUUUAUAAAAAAAGUGAGGGUAAAAAAAUUCUCACAUUUAGUUAACUAAUACGAUAUGAACUAAUCGAGUUCACAUAUAAGUGCGAUUCUACAUCUUUUUUGUUUUACUACAAAGAUAGCAAAAUUAAUUGUAAUCACCUUCUUCUAAGAAAGAUUUUGUCUAUGAUUAUGUUGGUAUUAACAUCUAUGAUUAUGUACUACAUAUAUAUGAAAUAAAUUUUUAUACUUAUGCAAUUAAACAUCCAUUUGUUAAAACAAAAACAUUAAAACCUUGAAUUAUUAGGAGUUAUUAUGUUAGCUGACCAUUUAAUUAUUUAAAUAUAAAAACAAUCUAUUUAUUUUAAUAAACCACAUUUUAAGUGGACUAAAAUAUGAUACUAAAACAAACAUUUUAAAAAAUUAUUAUUUUAGAUAUUUAAAUUCUACACAUACACACAACACACAUUAACUAAUUAAUUUUCAAAACUAAAGCUAUUAUUUUAGAUAUUUACAAAUAUAAUAUCUAAAAUCAACUCAAAAACAUCCAAAUUUAGAAGAUAUUUAAAACUCAAAUUCCAGAAAAGCUCUAACCCUUUUUCUUUUUCUUUUUCUUUUUCUUUUGGGAGAAUAUAAACAUAAAUAAUAUCAAGCAAAAAAGUCCAAAUCCUAUAUCAAUAUCAAAUCAAAAGAAAAUUUUGUUAAAGAAAGAAAGAAAGAAAGAAAGGCUGAAUUAUUCAUUUAAUCAGGAUCUCAUAAUUGAAAUAUUUGAUUUAAAGUAUUUUAAUGUGAUGAGGAUCCCACCACACAACCACAUCACCAUCCUUAUCAUCUUCUCUAUCUUUUCUUCAAAUUUCCAAACAAUAAUGCAAAAUUGAAGUCCCCACACGCAACCUCCCUUUCCCAUCACACAUCUCCUCUUUCUUUCUUUCUUUUCCCCUUUCUCUUCCCAUACAAACAUUAUUCUGUGUGCUCUGAAUUAUCUAGUCUUUUCUCUCUAUUGAAUCUGAAAUUAUUAACUAAUCACGGUUAAAGUUAUUUCUUAAUCAAAAUCAUCACUAAUUUAAAGUUACAAACACAUGAGUUGAUAGAUUUCGAAUCUCACAUGUUUUCACUCUAACCAUUUAAUCAAAUAAAAUAUUUUGGUAGUUGAGUUUAAAGAUAUAUUUAAUUUGGUCCAAAGACAAACUAAACCCUACCAAAUUUAAGACUCCCGAGCUUUAGAAGUCUUCCAAUAAUUAGAAUACUCUAUAACUUAUGAAGUUGAAAACUUCUUAAAGAUACCAAGUUUUUUGAAGAUAUAAAUACUAUUCCAAAGCUUGAUUGUGAAAAACUUUUUUACGUUAUUCAUUUUUUCAAAUCAAGUAUGUACUUUAAUCAAAAGAUAAAAUACUAAAAAUUAAAUAUUAAAUAAGUUCAACUCCAAAAAAAACAUCUUUUCUUUCACAAACAUCAUUCAAAUUAUAAUUAAUAUUUUUUUCAAAUCAUAAUUAAUAUUUUUUUCUAAUUAAUAAUUAUUAAAAAUUAUUGUGAGUUUGAAAAUAGUUUAACUAGUUAAUUAGUUUAGUUACAUAUAUGUUUGAUUGUGGUUAAAUUUGGAAUUUAGACUCAUUGAUAAGUAUUAAGCUAAGAAGUAUGUUUUCUAGUCUUGUGUUUUGGGUUGUUCACCAUCACAUAUAUUAUAUACACAUAUAUUUUUUUUUUUAAAAAAAAAAGAAACUUUUUGCCUUUUGAAAAAGUAACCAUAUAAUUUUUUUAAUGGUAGACAACAAAGUUGGAAAGUACAUUUAUAUAUAUAUACAUAAUGGUUUUUUAGGAAUAAUAAUAUGUUUUAGUUAAAAAGAAAAAAAGAAAAAAAAAAUCUAUGUCCAUUGUGUAGAAUAUUCGUAAACCAAAUUCCAUGUGCCAACUCACCCUCAAAUUCCAUCCACCUUCCCUAUAUAAAUCUUCUCCGCACCCUUUCUCAAAAUUCCAUUUUACACAAAGAAAAAAGAAUAACAAAGUAAAAAUGUCGGCAAUGGUAGAGUCAUGGAUGAACGAACUGGGAAAAUGGAGAAACAGAGUUGAAGCUCAAGACAACAACAACAAGAAGCCAUUGAUGCCCAAAUCCAAGCAACUCCAAACAGAUCACUUCAAACAACCCGCCAAAACCCAUAUGGCGGAUUCCGACGACACAGAAACCUCCGUCCUCUCUGAAUCCACCAUUUGUUUGCUCAUAGAUCGCUUUGCUCCUUUAUGAUUAUGCUUUCUUUCAAUAAUUCCUCUUCCUCUCUUUUAAGUUUUACUCUGUAUAUUGCUGAAUAUAUAUCUAAUAUAAUUGUAAAGGAAAUAGUAAUCUAGUUUUGUCCACUGCCACCUUGUACGCCUGCCGGCCCAUACUGCUUGUGAUGCUCUGUUUCUACAAUUCCUCUUUCCUAUGUUUUCCUUUGUAAUUCUAUGUUGAAUAUAUCUUAGGGUAUGAUCUGUAUUUUUCUCACCGCCGUUGCCAGAUUGGAGAGAUGAGGAGUCCGGUGGGUGGUAGCGGCGGUGGUGGUGGUGGCCGGUUUGGAGACUUUAUGGCUUUCUCCUUUUCAAUUAUGCCUUGCAGAAUUUCUGUAUAUAUUUCUUUAAUCAUUUUUUUCUAAUUAAUAAGAUUUUGCUCUUCCUUUUUGUUGUUUGAAGUAUUAAUAUAAUAAAAUUUACCAUAAUUGAAGUUAUCAAAUUUAAUUUUUAAAUUAUGGCAUAUUAGUGUAAAUCCAUUUUUAUAGUUGUAAUUAAUGAGUGUAAUUUGAAUGUAGAAUAAGAAAAAGAAGAGCAAGAUCCAUUUUGUCAAGUUAUUAAUUCUUUUCUUUAUCUUAUCUUUUCGUGAUUUCUCCGUCUCGACUUCUAGAAUUUCUUUCUUUUUUCAUUUCUUAAAAUUCUCAUCGAAUCGAUUCAAUAAUGUUUGACAUUUCUCAUAUAUUUUCUCUUUCAGAUUUAAAUGAUCGUAUACCAACUUUUAAAUGAUAUUGGUUCAAGAUCGUAUACAAAAUAUAAAAGAUCUUGGCACAUAAUUGUAAAUCAAUAUCGUUUAGAUUUUAUACACGAUCGUUUAGCUCUUGGUACUUGAUUGUAUAUCAAUAUCUAAACGAUCUCGUUUCACGAUCGUUUAGAAGAAGAAUUUCACACGUGGGUAUUACUUAUUAAUCGCAUGUUGGUUGGAUAAUUUGGUAUUUUCCUUUGCAGAUUUUUUCCGUUUUUCAAAAGUAUUUUAUACCGUGUAAGUAUAUUGCUCGCUUAUUAUAUUUUUGAAAACCUUCCAGAUUAAUUUACUGUUAUCAAACACAAACACGGUCUAAAAAAGUUAAAUUUUUUAAGUUUGUGUUUAUAACUUAUUUGUAUUUUGUAUUUAGCAUUUCUACAUCUAAAUUUAGGAAGAUAUUAAUGACAUCUCUCCAGUCUAAUUUAGUUUUUCUAUCUCAUAAUUAAUUUAAACUCAUUUCAUACAUCACUAAAACCGCAUGCAUAACCAAAUACUAUUUCUAAUUCUACUAUUUGCAUGACGACAUGCCUCGUCAACCUACGUUUAAUCAAUUCAAAAAAAUUUAAAACUAGUAUCAAUUACCAAUUUUUUUCUAUUUUUAUUUAAAAAAUUUGUUCUCUAGUAGAUAUAUUAGUUUUCAAAAACUACUUAACAAAAUAAUUUUGGAUUUUAAUAGCAUGUUUAACACCCUCGUUUUUUAGCCAUUGUUUCAAAAACACUAUAAAUACGUUCUCAUCAAACAUUUUUAGACUCACCUUUCUCAACCGCGUUAAUCGCUUAGAAGCAAAACUAGUGACAUCUAACAAGCAUGGAAAAUCAAAAACCUUUUACAGUCUCCAUUGUUGUGAUGGUGAUAUUCGCAUGUUUUGUUUUAUCAAGUAUGCUCUUAUUAUCUCAUAACCCCUUCUUAUCUCAUAAUGGUAUGUUCUUUUGCGUGAAAAAAAAAAAUAUUAACAAUUAAUAUUGAUGUUUUAUCACAUGUGGCAGCAAAAGGAGACAUGUUGUUGAAUUGUAUCGGGCCUUGUUCAAACCCAGAUGAUAAUGUUUCGUGUAACAACGAUUGUCUCAAACAAACUUAAAAACAGUGGAUUUUGCUAUCCCAAGUUAGAUGGUUCUUCAAACGAAAAAGAUUGUUGUUGCUAUAUCUGAUGAUGAAACCCAAAAAAAAAAAAAAGUUGUAUAACCUUGAUUUGAAAUGGUUAAACAAAGUCAUAUUGAUAGAAAUUCAUGUUUAUUUAUUCAUCUUUCGUACUCUUUUGUCCUUAUAAACAUUAAUUAUUUUACCUCUUUGAGAUAGUUGCAAAUGUUGCAAUUAAAAUUAAAUAUUAGCAUACAUAACAACAUUUUAAAAAAAUUUGCGAAUGUAACAAAAUUUGUCAAAGUCUAAAAGCGAUAGAAUAAAUUUAUCACCGAUAGAUUUUGCUAUAUUUGCAAGUUUUUUAAAAAUGUCUCUAAAUGCUUAAUUGUUAUUGCUAAAAUUACUACCUAUUAUAAUUACCCAAUAAAUUUUUAUUCAUUAUUGUUUAAAGAAAGAUGUUAUGCAUUUGUUUGAGAAUGUGCAAUAAUGUUGUUAUGAAUAAUACUAACGGUCGUGCAACGAUAUUUGUAAUAAGAUGUAGAACAUCGUUUUUGAAAUAAUAAUUGAGCGAUCUUUUAUGCUAAUAUAAUAAAAUGAUGUCAAUAAAAUAUUGCAUUAUUACUAAAGACAUGUGAGCAAAGUAGCACAAUUUUUAAAAACAAAACCCAUUCAAAAUCAAAUGGCUAUCCAACAAUGCAUUAAUACCCUAAAUUUAAAAUUUUCGAACAUUACUAAAGUGAAUAUAAGUUAAUUCUUUAGCUCUACACUAUACUCUAUAAGAAGAUCAAGAAUUUACAAGCACUUGAAUUGUGCUACACUAUUUUAUUCUAUAGGAAAUAACCAAUGAAAUAUAAAAUGCAUUUUUCAAAUAUUUGAUUAGCUAUGUGAAGCUGCUUGCAUCAACACUAGUACAUGAAAUUUCAGUAAUGCUGAUGUUAGGUUUGUCAACUUGCCAUUUGAUUAUUUCCCUUGCAUAUCUCAAAGCAGCAUUCACAUUUUCGGGCUCCAUCCCUGUUGUUUGUGAAACAAACAACUUUUUAUCUGUCAAAGAACAAAACAGUCUCUUGAAUUUCACUGCUAUGUACUGAAACGCUCGUUGUGCCAAUGUCGGGUUCGUGCUGCUGCUACUUCUUCCAGUGAUCAUUGGAUUGAAGUCAACAAACCACUCACAUUGAGCAAGAGGAGCGUGGAUGAUCUUUUCUUCGAAGAGAUCAAACUUGUUCAGUAUGAGAAGGAAGUUCUUUCCUCUUGAGGCUUGAUGUGUCACAAUGCUUUCAAACAGUUGCUUGCUUGCGAUCAUUCGGUUCGUUAGAACUCCGUUAUCAUCCUCGUCAAAUUCAUCGUAGUCUGUUAAAUCCACACAAAAUAAAAUUAUUUUUGUGUCGUCAAACAUCUCCAACAAUUUGCAGUUUUCUCCUAGGGUACUGGAAUGGACUCGAAUCAGCUGGUACCUAAAAGAGGAAGGAAUCGGGUUUUUUUAGCUGAUGAUAACUUUAUGCGACUGUAUGCAAAAAUCUAUGCAAAAAGCAACCUUAUUGACAGAUCGUGCUGAUAAGGAGGGUCGAGAAGGGAGUCUUGUCGUGACUCAGGGAACGUGAACUCCAUGCUACUGAGGCUGUUGCACGAGGUGAUUCCCUCAGCGUACAAGAUAUCAUUGUCAGAAGGGUCAUACUCUAUGCUUGAAAUGUCAAUUGCCUGCGUUGAUAAAGAAAUUUACUUUGGUAAAGAUGAUGAUCCUGAAUCAUGAUCAAUAGUCCACUAUUCAAAAGCAAGACACCAAUCAGGGGAAAACUAAUGAAAUUUGACAAACAACUUGAAUUACAUCAAGGUGAACCCACCCAUUACAGGAAAAAGAAAACUUAAAUCAUUGGAAAAAAAAUGUCACCUUUUAAUGUUACUGCAUAAUGGUUUUGAAUUCUAAGCUAAAAGUCGAGCAUGCUAUUUCAACGUUCUUCAAUAACUAGGAAGAAACCUCCAUGUCUACAAGCAUCCGUAUAGCGAAAGGUCAGAGGCAUUGGUGUUUUUAUGUCGGUAACCAAAUGAUCAAAAGGGUUAACAUAUUUUAUGGUUAAAAAAAACGUUCCAAUAGAGUCUAUAGUUCAAAUGAUUUUUACAAGCCCUAAAACUUUCAGUGUCCAAUUUAUGAUCUGGAAAAAUGCUCCUUUUGUCACCAAAUUUUGAAUCUAGUUUUUAUAUGGUUCCUCAAUUUCAAAUGUUACACCUCACCUAUGAGUUCAGAAUUCAAUUUCUAUGUGUCCCUACAUAAAUCCUAGUUUCCAUAUGAUCCCUAGGUUCCUAGAUUUCAAAAUGUUGCACUUCUGCCCUUGAGUUCUAAAUUUAGUCUCAUUCGGUCUCAGGUCAAUAUUUCAUACUUUUACCCUCCAAUUUUCGUUAAUGCUCAAAUUUGAUCUUCAGUCUUGAAUUUUAACAUUCCGUUAAUUAACUUAAAAUAAUUAUGAUGUAAAUUUUUUUAAUUAAUUUUGAUACUAUGAAAACUUAGUGAAAUUUAAUUUGAAUUAAUUUUUUGGUUUAGAGAAUACAAUCAACAUGUCACUAAGAUAGAGACCAAUUAGAUACAAAAUCAAAAGCCCAUACACCUAGUGAAUACUUCUCAACACUAUGAAUUAUACUGGUUUAUAAUGGUAUUAGAAACUUUUUAGAGUAAAAAUGUCUAAUGGACCCAUCUCAGAAACAACUAAGUUUAAUGACUAAACAUCCUACCUUUAACAAAGAAAGGUAUAAGAAAAAUUGCAAGAGAUUAUUUCUAAGGUGGAAUUCAACAGUAAUGACCCAGAACGUAAACUCACCCGAUCAAGGAAAUAAGUAGCAACUCGUGGGAGCAUUUCUAGUUCGUUCCUUCUACUGUACGUGGCUUGGAAGGCUUCAUCCUUCAACAACUCUUCCACUAAUUGACCAUACACACGUGUAGCAGCCGGGAAUAUGGUGUCAAAGUUCCCUGACACCACGACUUGAAGAAGCAAAUCUGCAAAUCCUUUCAGUUUAGGGCCAAGGGAAUAGAUGUCCUUACGCUCCAACUGAUUUUCAUUCCCUGUAACCACUGAAUAAUGUCAUUUGCUUUGCUCAUUGAACAUCAGAAUAAUAUAGUCAGGAUGAUAUGGUAAUUUAUCUACUGAAAUCUGUCGAAAUAUUUAAUACAAAUGAUCGACUAUCAGGGAAAAGUGAAAAUCAUCUGAAAAUGGAAUUACAACAGACCUGAUGCUGAUGAGCUGGACGGAUCAUUCACUGGUUGUUUAUUUUUCUCAUCCAUCAAAAUCUCUUCUUCGAAACGCUCUCGUCCUUCCAGUAGUAUAGUAAGAUACCAAUACAAGUUCCUUUGAAUCAGUAACUUAAUUGUUUGACGCUCGUCAUCAGAGAAAGGAACUUUAUAUAUUUGUUUGGCCUAAAAUGAAGAAAUGACUACUGGUCAGGAAGUAUAUAGGAUAAGCAUUUCUAUAUCAACAUUAUUCGUUGUACACUAAGGAUGGGAGGUGAAGAAUUGGGUAAAAAUAAGUUCAAAUAAACAUGAGAGACAUAAAGAAGUGGUAUGUAAUGAAUCCCAAGUACAACCAAGAAGGGACCUAACACUCUUAGCACAAUAAUGGUUAAGGGCUUGUCUUUUAUGAAGCAGGCGGCAGGCCCCACUGCAAUGUGCGUUGAGGCUUGAAAUAAAAACCUUUUGGUUUCAAUAUUUGAUUAGGUUGACAAGAGUGUGAAUAUGUGAAGAGGACAGCAGAAAGAAAUCAUAUAUUGGUGACAUAUAUGAACUUUACUAUGAAUUAAAAGCCUUUUCUGCAAGCCAUCUGCUUUCUUGACACAAGACUUUCAGGCAAAUCAAUGAACUUUAUUAUGAAUCGAAAUAUUUAUCAAAACAAUGAUCAAACAAGAACUAAAAUUAAGAUUAACAUCAUAAAUAGUAAGAAUUUUAACACGAUCAUAGGUAGAAGUUUUAAGAAGCAUAAAAUGUAGUACUAUAACUGAAAUUACCUGCUUGAAUAUGGUACUCGUGCCAGAUUUUUUGUGGCCAACAAGGAGAAGUUUAUGAAGUACUUUCUGCUCGUAAGAAACAGAUUUAGCUCCGUCCUCUAUUUCCUCUCCAGUACGAACAGAAUUAGAAGGAAUAGGCAAAGAAUAAAGGGCACAUGCAAGCCUCGUUCUAGUCUGCAGAGAUAGGUGAAUUAGUUGUUCUUGCAAAUUUGAUGUAUAUAAGAUAGAGCAGGAAAAACCAAACUGAACAUCAUCGCAUAAGGUUUACCUUGUCCCAUAUUUUUCCCCCAUUGUUCAUUCCUUCUUCCUGGUAUGAUCCAUCUGCACUAACCCAAAAAGAAGGUCUUCCUUCACAAGGCACUCCAGCCAGCUGCAAGCAACAUGAUCUCAUUUGUGUUAUUUGCGCAUACUUUUAUAUUUCAAUAAAGCUAAACUAAAUACGAACACUGGGUAAAAGAAAACCUUCAGUAUCCGGAGCUCGUUUUUAGUGAUCUCUCGAUUAUUGAUGCACACAUUCGUAUUGCCAUUGCUAGCAUUCCUCUUGAUCCGACCUCCAACUUCUAGCUGGGAGCUAACUAUCUGACUCGGUCCAUGUCCUUCCUGUUCAGUUAAAAACAGAUCAAAAAGUUUCUCAUGGUGCAAAUCGCUUCUUCUACAUGCUCAAAAGAUAAAAUAAUAUCAAUCAAUCAAAGAGAGAGGACCUUUCCCCAGAAGCCUGAUUCUUUGUCAUACCAAUAUUGUCCUGGUUUUAGAUUCUUUGGUGGCUUUCGACAACUUCGCAACGUAAGCAGUUCCUGUCGACUUAAAGGAUCGCCAUUGACGUAGAUAAGUCUUGCUGGUAGUUGGUUUAUUUCACACUCUUUCUCAUGCAACAUUGCGCUCUUAAUUUCAUAGUCAGAAAGCAACCUCUUGAGCACUUUAGAGCUUUUACCCAAGUUCUCCCUUCUUGAUUCAUCAAUCCUAUACCCAAUGCAAGAGAUACACUUCCUUCCUUCUGGCAUUGCUCCCAUUGCUCUGAUUAUACAAUCAAAGCAAUAUUUGGCUCCACAAACAAUGCAUACUUCCUUUUCAGUGAAACGGUUUCCUUUAAGGCAGAAGUAGCAUGAUCCUUUUUUUCCCUUCCUUUCAGCUCGAGGCAUCUCUUGAAUGCUUUCACCCUCAAAUUGACUUGACUCAGCCUCUUCAGAAAUCGUGUUGCUCGUAUGGGGAUCAAGAAAGGUAACAGCUGAUGGCCUUCUGCCAUGCCUACGCGUAGUUUCAUAGUCAACUUCCUCUUCCUCUCUUACAGCAAAAAUUCCAGAAGACGAACUCAAACCCGAUUCUACUGAUUCCGAGUCGCUGGAAUUCGUAUAGCCUUGAAAAUCCUCUUCAUUCUUAAUUUCCAAUGAUUCUACCCCUCCUAUUCUUCCUUUCAGCUCAUUGAAAUUCUCAAGUUCACCAGAACUUUCAACUCCAUCACACGAAUCGAUAUUACAUUUAUCUUCCUUAUUGGCAUGGAGGCAAACAACCCCAUCUUCCUGGAUUUCUGAAGUUGAAGAAAUUACAGAAUUAGGGCUGGAACUUGAACCCUUCUUUAGUUUCUUAACAAUGGGUUGUAUCACAGGCAGAGAUGAUAAAUCAUCACUGAAUUGAGAUGAUGAAAGAACCACAGAAGCCGUUGGAAUAUAAUCAACAUUUAUAGGAACUGCACGAGGAAUCUCGUAACUAAUUCCAGGACCUUUAUACUCCAUGGCAAAAGAAUAUUCACCAGUAAAAUCCACAUGAUUAACAGGAGAAGAAGGCUUCUCGUGAAAAAGUUUUUUAAGAAUCCCAGCCAUAACUCAACAAUUCAACAACACAAAUUUUAACACAACAAAUCUAACGAUUUAAACAAUUACAACCCAACCCCAUCAAGCAUAACCAAUCAAACAAGCCCACAAAACAGAGAAACAAAAGAUCGAUCAAUCAUCAAAUCCAAAUGAUCGAAGAGAAAAAAGCUCCCAGUGGAGGAAAAUAUCGAAAGAAGAAGUUACAAUUGUGAAUUAGUAGGAACCCAUGUUCAAGAAAGUCGAAUCAGAAGACUUUUUGACAGUGGGGUUCAAGGAAAACGAGUGUGCUGUUAAAGAUAAUAAUAAAAAAAAAAAAUGGUGGGAAUGGAAAUGCUAUACUCAGUCAACACAAAGACUAGAGAGAAGACUUUGGAUUAGUAGAAAAAUGGGUUCAAUGGUGGAAAAGAACGCGUUCAAGUAAGAAGAAAACUGACAAGAAAGGGACAUAAAAGAGGAAAUUUAAGAGAGAAAGUGGAAAAGAAGGUAGGUGUUGGUCAUUAUUAUAAUCAAUUACAUUACAAUACGUCAAAUUAGAAAAGCAGAGAAAUUACCAGUCCCUUCCUUCCUUCCUUCCUUCCUUCCUUCCUUACUUCAUUCCACGUUUUUGCUUCCGAUUUGUCUAAGAUGAACUCAAAAUUGAAAGGCAAUUAAGAACAGUCUGCCACUGAGAGAAGGAAAUAUUGCUUUGAAUUUAUUUGUCGUGCCUAACACGAGAGCGGAUGUGUGAGAAAUUUUACCGUAUUCUCCAUAGCUUUAACAAGAAAUCUGUUGUACUGUUGUAACUUUGAGAGAAUUUCUUACAUUUCUUGUUCUUGGUUCUGCAAAGGGUUCCAUGAUUAUUGAAUUCAGUACAUUAUAAUUAAUAUGCAAAGUUUUUAAGACUGAAACAUUACUUUUUUUCUUUUAUAUUUUUAUUAUUUUAUUACAACUCAAUAAAUUUAUAUAUAUAGCAAAACUUCUACCUUUUAUUUUCAUUUUCAUUUCAACUCUUUUUAUUUAUUUUUAACUAUGCUAAAAUCCAAAUAUGGAAACCAUAAAAUAUAAUAUAUAAAUAAAUUAGAUAUGUAAGAAAAUUCAAAUUUCUCUACCUCCUCUCAAUUUCAUUGAUUUAUAUAUGUGUCUCACGAAUCUACUAAAUGUCACUAUUUAUACACAAUUUGGUAGGCAUGAACUAGAUUACAUGACAAUGUGAGUAUCAUCUAGACUUUUGUUAAUGGUGUUGAAUGAUUAAGAAAUUGACAUGUGGUGGACAUCUAUUUAUUUAGUAUUUAUAAUAUUUUUUUUUUCAUUUGUACGACCUUAUAGAAUUAAAUACUUUUUCUUAUUUUAUAUGUUGGAUAUUGAAACUACAUUUCAAACUUAAAUUAAUAAUAAUAAAAAGUUUGAUUAAUUUUCUAAAUUUAUGUUAAAUAUUAAAUAUAUUUUGUUUGAUUUACAAAAUUGAAAAUUUAACAACUUUAGAGAUGCAAAAGGUAUUUGAAUCACUCAAAUAUAAAUUUAAAAUUUAUGACCUUACAUCUUCUUGAGAAGACUUCUAGUUCAUGUUUAUGUUUCAUAAUUAAAAUUAUAAAUUUAAAUUUGAUUCAUUCAAAUCUCUUUUAAAUUUCUAAAUUUGUUAAUUCCUGAAUUUUGUAAAAAACAAUGAUUUACAUAAACUUAGAAAAUUAAAUAAGCAUUUUAUUGUUAAUUGAGAUGUCUAAGGUAGUUCACUGUUAUACAAAUGAUGUACAAAAAAUUAUUUUACUCUUUUAAGAAUGAACUUAUAAAAAAGAAAUGAAAAUAAAAGAAAAACAUUUAUGUAUAUAUAAUUUUAUUAAAUCACAAUAAAAUAAUAAAAAAAAUGGUAGAACACUUAACAAAAUAUUAACCCUUCAUAAAAAAUUGUGUAAUAAUUUAUCAAAUAAAAUUUAUCUUUUUAAUGAUUUUGUGGAUGAAGUGUAAAUAGUUUGAUAAUGGUUUUGUUUUUGAAAAAGAUUCACUAACAAAAGUAUAAAACAAAAUUUAAUGGUUUUUAAUAAAUAAAUAAAAAAUCACUAUUUUUUUUUGCAAAUAGUUUCAUACAUUCGUUUUUUUUUUUUUUUUUGCAAAUGUUUUACAAAACGGCCCUAUUUUAAUACUAAACUCCAAUUCUUAAAAGAAUGCAAACAAAUUUUUUUUAGUUAUUUUAAAAUUUGUUUGAAUAAGAAACACAGGUAUAAACUAAUAAAAAAUUUAGUUACAUGUCCAUUUAACUACUAUUUCUUAAUAUAAUAAAAUAAAGAUAUAUUUUAAAAAUAGCAAAAUAAAUUAAAAUAUUUAUAAGCUAUAGCAAAAUUUUGAAUUCUAUCACUAUAGUCUUCAAUCACUGUAGAAAAUUAAUGACUAUCAGUGAUAGAAUUUGUUAUAGGUUGUAAAUAUUUUGUAAAAUCUUAUACUUUUAGAAAUUCCUCUAAAAUAAACCGAAAUAUUUAUAAAAUAUAACAAACUUUUAAAUUUUAUUAAGAAUAAAUACUUAUAACUUUUAUGGGUGUAUAACAGUUCACUAAUAGAAAUUGAUAGAAAUCUGUAUGUGCUAAUAAUAAAUAGAAUCUAAAAUUUUAUUAUAUUUUGUAAAUAUUUUCAGUAAUUUUAUCCUUUACAAUAAUUUUUUUCUAUUCAAUUUUUAAAUUGUAUAAAUAGCAAUUUUAGUCCAUAAAUUUCUCGACUUUAAUAGUAAAAUGAGAGGCAAAAUAUUCUCCCCUCUUACCUAUUUUAUAUAAAGUACAGAUUUAUAAUUAUCGAUGAACUGAUGAGCAAGAUAAUUUAAAGUAUAAAGUAAAUGCAAAAUAAAUAAACAAAUAUUUAUUUUUACAUCGCGAGCUUUAAAACUUGUUAGAGAAAUAUGGUAGUUUAGAGAAGUCAUAUGAACUUCUUCCGAAUUAAAAUUGAGGCAACGAGAUAAAGUUUAUGUCUCUACAAGAAACAUCUUUACAAACAUUCUAAUAGAUGUGUUGUCUGGGUGCAAUGGUUCUUAUCAUCGUUUAGUGUUUGAUUAAAAUUUUCCUUUUUUUCUUUUUAUAAAUAAGGUGAAAUAAAAAUGAUUCUAAGAAAUAGAGUAGAUAACUGUGGACAUAGCACGUUCUUGAGUUAAUAAAGAAAUUGUUUAUGUAAUACAUGAUUAGGGCCCAAAUUGUGUUUUGCACAUACUAGUACCAAAUGAAUGUCAGUUGCAUGUACGCUCCAUACCAUGUGUACUACAUGUAAGUGAUUAGAGCUUAAAUUGUGUAAGAUUAACAUGACAUGGGUCUAACCUAGACACGUGACAUGGGUCUAACCUAGACACGCAUACUGGCAAUUGUGUCAUAGAACUUGUGUACCAUAUACAUGAGUUCCAUAUGUGGCUUGUGUGCAUGGUAAUACUAUUUUGACAUAUGACUCAUGUAUCAUAUACACAAGUUCAUAGUUCUAAUCACCUCAAAAUAUAACUUAUAAAUAUUUUAAAAAAUACUGAAAUUUGUAUCACUUUCACGUGAGAAAUUGUAAAUUUGACUCACGGAUGACAAUAGAUUGAACAAAUUCACCCAAAUUGAAUUUGAUUUCUCGUGAUCACAAAUAAGUGAAGAAUUACUUGUUUUGAAUAUCCUAUUUUUUCCUGAUUUGAUUUUCUUCCAAAUAAAUAUUUGACUUAAGAUUUAGGGGUAAGUAUGAUAAUAGUCUUCUCUAUCACACCUAAUUUCUUUGUAUGUUUUACAAAGGGAAAAAAGGGUGAGUAUUGCAUGUUCUCAAAUUUGAUUCACAAACAUCAUAAAAGCAUGGUGAAUAUGAGAUUGGUAAUUAAAGGCAUUAAUUACCAUUUUUAGAGGAUGAUGAUAUUUUAUCUCUACAUUUACCAUUCUUCAGCUCAAAAGAAAUUUUAAACGCAUAGUACCAAUUUUAAAUUCACCAUUUAUAAUCAUAAAAGUCAAAUUAACCCAUUUUGGAUGGGAAAAAUAAAGUCUAAGAAAGUUUGAGUAAAAUUCCUCAAAACAAAAAAAACAAAAAAAAAGUUUAGUAAAAUAUGUUAAAGAAAAUAAUAAAAUAAGCAGUAAAAAAUAUAACACUAGUAACUAAAAAAUAGUUUAAAAAAAUAUGGAAAGAUAGAGUUCGGUACUAAAGUUAAGUGUAUAACGACAUAUAUUAUAAACGAUUAAGUAGGAAUUGACAAAAUUUUGUUACACUUGUAAAUUCUACAAAUACUUUAGAUUUGAUUGUUAUAUUUGUAUUGUUUACAAACUAGAGAAAUUGAAAUACAAAUAUUUUUUUAUUUAAUCUCUAUAACCCAUAUUUGGAAUGAUUUUAAAAUCUUCAAAAUCAUUUUUGGUUAUUCUUAAAAUCUAUUUAAAAUAUGUUUUUAAUUAUUUAAAAUUAAUUUAUUAUCAAAUUUCACAUUUUUAAAUAUAUUUUUUACAUACUAAAAUUAGUUUAGAAGAAUUAAAAAUAUAGUCCUAAAUAAUUUUAACUAUUUUAGGAUGAAUCUCAAAUGUGUUAAAAAGAAAAUAUUUUUUUCCAAAUACUAAUUAAUUUGGUUCGAAAAUUUUUAAAAAUAGUCAAGUAAAUUAAAAUAUUUAUAAGUUAUAGCAAAAAUUUUAAUUUUAUCAAUAAUAAAAAUUGAUAGACUUCUAUCACUGUUUGUCAAUGCCACCCAACGAUGGAAGCAUAUCAGUGUCUAUCAUCAAUGUUUACUAUCGAUAGAAUCUAAAAUUUUGCUAUAUGUUAUUAAUAUUUUGUCAAACCUGUUAUUUUUGACAAUUUUCCUUUAUUUUAAAAAACGAAGAAUAACGCAUCCACUAAUGACAACUUAUAACAAGGGGUGCUUGCAAAAAUAGCAAAAAAAAAAAAUUAUGAUAGUAGAGUUCAUGUCACUACAUUUUCUAAAUUGUAAAAGUAGCAAAUUUAAUAAAGUCAAUAACUCUUUGAUAACACUCCUAUAGUCUUUCGCAAUAAUAGUUUGAUAUCAUUAAUUACUUGUCAUAUUCACAAUAUGCAAAAAGAUGUGUCAUUAGCUAUUUUCUCUAAAUAUUUUUUUUUUUUGUCAAUUUUCCUUAUAUAUAUUCACAUUACCUUCAAUGUCAUGAGCGCUCUUAGGUCGGUAGAGGUAUAGUUUUGAAAAUGGUCAUUCCUUUGUUAAUUCUCAAACCAUUAAUUAUAUAUACUUUUAGGAAUUGAAAGAAUUAUUUCAUUUUAAAAACCCAAGCAACCAUCGUCCUUAAUCAAAAGAAUUAACAAUCUUAGAACCUUUUGUUUUGUUUUUUCUUGAGUGAAGUGUGACGUAAUUUUAAUUGGACUAGUUAAUGAGGAUCUUUUUACUAAACAAGAAAAAAAAUGGUACACUUCAAAUUGUCAAAAUCUUUGUCUAAAAUGGAAGAAAAUAAACCCAAAAAAAAGUUAGAAUUCCUCAAGAUUUGCAUAACUACUUGGUCAAAUUAGGUUAGGGGAGAACAAGUAUUUGACAAUUAAAGAAAUUUAAAAUAUAAGAGCAAUAGUUUGUGAAUCAAUUUUCCCAUUUUUCUCUAACUAAUGAGUGAAUUACAAAUAAAGUCAUUGUCAUGUUGAGAUAUGAAUAACUUCCCUUGUAAGUUAAAAGUUUAAAAAUGAUGUCCCUUAAAUAAUUCAUUUCUCAAAAAAAUUAAUUAUUUCAAAUAAUCACCUCAAAAUCAAUAAUAUCAUAUAUAUAUAUAUAUAUAUAUAUAUAUAUAUAUAUAUAUAUAUAUAUAUAUAUAUAUAUAUAUAUAUAUAUAUUAAUAAAAAAAUCAAACACCCUAACGUAUGGAUAUAAUAAGGCGUUAAUUGAUAUGAUCUCUUUUGAGUAUAACUUCAUGGCUUUAUUUUUUGUUUCACUCAAAUGGCAUCAUACCGUUAAAGAUAGUUGUCUACUUACUUAUAUCUCAUUCUUGUUGGGAAAACAGACAUCAUAAGAUCUCAAUAAUUAUAGGAUAUUGUCCACUUUAGCCUCGUGAUUUUAUUAUUUUUCUUUUUGUGUCAACUAAAAGCCAAAUACAGUUAAAGAUAGUUGUUUCCUCAUUUAUAUAUCAUUCUUUAAUGAUCAUCCAAAUAUCUUUACAGGUUUAAUAUAAUAAGGCCAAUAUAGGAUUUUGGGUCAUAGUCCUACAAUUCUCUCCUUGAAUAAAAGGACCAUCAAAAGUCUUCCCUCAAAUAAUCAUCCAUAUGUGUUUACUUCCAAGUAAUCACCUUUAAUUAGGUCAAUUUCUUUUCAUCGGAGUUCAUUCCCUAUGUCAUCAAAUCACAUCAACAUGAUUAAGUGUGAGGGGCAUGAUACUGAUACUAAUUUCUAAGAAGAACGAACCCUCCAACGAGACCUGUAUUUGAAUAGAAGGGUCAUUUUGGAAAAAUAAGAAGCUAAGUAAAGGAUUUUGAAAAAUGAAGGUUUUGAGAAUUUAGGCGUUUUAAUGACUUGGCGUUGAGUGAAAGCAACGUGAGGUGAAGGAAAAGACGGCCAAGAUUAACUGAGUAGUUUGAGGUUCAACACAAGUUGAAGUUAGGCGUUGAGAGUUAGGAAUUUGUUGGGAAAUUUCCUAAUCGUACUUAAUGGGUCACGUGUAAGGGCUUAAGCUAAGGAUGGUUUGAAAAAUUAUUAGACUUACACGUGUAUUACUUUAAGUAGGAGCUGACAAGCUUAAGGAAAAUUAAGGAUGAUUAACCCAAUUUAGGAUUAGUAUAUAAACAGAAAUGAAGAGUUAGUAGAACAGAAGAUUAUGCUUAAAUUCUUAAGGUUGUCGUUAAAAGGAAGACUCACUAUGCGAGAAGAAGGCCAUUUGGGGAACUAGGCAUUCUAAACAAAAGAAAAGCGUGUUGUGAGUGAUUUUCCAAAAAUGUUUAAAUAUUUAAAGCUUUCUACUAAAUUUCCUUAUUGAUUUGUAAUAACAUUCAUAUGAUAAUGUUUACAAAGAAUGAUUUCGAAAGAAAGUUUGUGUUAUGUUUAAAUGAUUGUAUUGUAUGUUAUAUAUGUCUGUAAAAAUUUAGUCUUAUUUCUCUCAAUGAAGCUAACUAUUAUGUACACAUAAGGAGUAAAGGAACCUAUGUAGAAAAUAACUGUAUGUGGAGUGAAAUUGACCAAUGCGUAAAAAGAGUGUAUUGAUCAGCUUGGUGACCUGAGCAACGAGAACUUGAACCAAGAAAAUUUCUAAGGAAUGUUGAUGAUGAAAAGGACGUUACCGUAGUCUAUGUGUGGGAACGGUUCAUGUUCUUGGAAGAAAGGAAUAUGAAAGGCUAGUGAGUGAUUUCUGUUUUAUGAAAAGAGACGAUGAAAACCAUAUUUAUGAAAAUGAUUUCACAUGUUGUCUGCAAAAGAAUUUUCAAAACUAUCACUCACUAAGCUUUGACUUAUGUUUUAAGUUUUUCAUCCCUAAGGUUUCAGACGUUAUGGCUAAGUGUGGAUAAGGAAGGUAAGUUGCUACACGAAGAAGCUAAGCAAGACGUUCUAAGUUUAUUUCAUAGAUUAUCUAUUUAAGAAAGUGUGUAAUAAGUGUAUUUUGAUCACACGCUUAUAAGUAAUAAAGUGAAGUUGUUUUUCUACACUGCGUUAUGAAUUUAUAUAUUUCUUUAUCGCCUAAUAUUUAAGUUUAAGUUCAAUUUAGUUGAGGUUAGGUUACUUGAAUUGCAUUGGGUGAGCAAGCUAAGUUCAACGACUUAAGUUGAGCAUUCUGACGUUUCAUAUACUUGAGGCGUCAUGCCUACUCAAGUCAGGUCGCAUUACGAAGUUAACAAUGGGUGUAGGGUAGGACGUGACACCAACAUAUUCAUAAUUGUAUGAUCGAUAAUAUUUGUUUUGGGUAUAAUCAUCACAAUUUUGGUUUUGAUUUCACCUAAAAGACAUUAUUUCAUUGAAGAUAAUUGUCCUUACUCAUACAACAUAAAUCCUCCCUAUAUCUAGCCAAUGUGAAAAUUUGUUUCGCACUCUAACACCAACAAUGAGACUAAGACCCACACAUUAUACCCAAAAGGCUAAGUCAUCUACAACCAUAUUUUGAAAUGAGUCAUAUGUAAUAAAAUUGAAUAUCCAACAAUGAACCAUGAACAAAAUACCUUUUAUUUCUAAUUUCACAUAGAACUAACAAAAUAGCUCUUGUUAACAACUGGACAACUAUCACGUUGCUCAACUCCACCAUAGUUGUAACAUCAACCUAACAUCUAUAUAUGUGAAAAACACACAUUAUUAACCUGAAGAAUUAAGUUUUCACCAAAGUUAUAGACAAUGUAAACAGUGCAAGCAACACUACAAGAAAAAUGUAAAACACGACUAAGUUGGUAACCCGGUUUAGUGCAAUCACACCUAUAUCUGAGGAGCCUUGAGUCCAAUCGAAAAGACCAUUUAUUGAAAUUCAAAAAAGCUCACAAAUAUAUAGCUUAUCAAGAAUUAUUGUCUUGAUAUACAUAACUUUGACAAGAUCAAAGUACAGACUACCUCUAGACCACCUAAAGCAUGAAUAAGAGCUUUAAUCUAUGCUCCCUUAGAUCAAGUACUCCACGCUUUACCCUUUUGACUUUAUUGCCCAGGCUCUCCUUGGGAGAGACACCUCAUAAUUCACUUAUAAUGUUAGGCUUCCCCUGACGUUUUAAAUCUUUUCAAUCUAGUGUAUUAUAAAGUCGUUAGUAAGGUGUUCAACACCACACACGAGAAUUUCUCAUAAGGAACUCAACGUCAACCUAAAACACCACUUGAAAUAAACAUCAUUGACUCAUGUUUUCCGCCUAUAUAAAACACCACAGUUCACAAGCUCUUGUUUAGAUCAAAGACCAAGAAAAUAACGAAAUCACUUGAAAACUUGAACAUGAAAUUAUACUAAUUUGAAUCCUAGUUAUAAGAAGAUCUUUAUAUUAAUCAAAGAUUCAAACUCUAAUAAUCUUUCCAAAUUUGAAUUUGAUGUCCAAUUGAUCCACAAAGUUUGAGAAAGAAAAGAAGAAAGAGUAUAAUCACUCUAAUAUCUAAAGUUUAGAAAAUAAUUUCAAAUAUUCGUUAAGUUGUUAGUUCAAAGAUGAUUUUGUCAAUAAAAUUUGGUGAGGUAUAUAGGUGUAAUGUAUUUAAUUAUUUUAUAAUAGACUUUAUGAAUUAUAAUUUAACACGUAUGUUAUUUAUAAUAUAUAUAUUUGAUUACAAGUCAUUAGAAAUUAGAAGGUGGAGAAAGCAAUUUCAUUUUUUCAAGUCAUCUUUUUAGUUCUUAUUAAUUAGAAAUUAAAAGAGUAUAUAUAAUAAUAAAUAAAUAAGGACAGCUUUCAAUAUUAAAAAAAAAUGAAUAAAUAAAUAAAAGAAAAGUCGAGAAUGCCACGUGGCUGAAGAAAAGGCAAUAAAAGAAUGUGGGGCCAUCAAUUAUAAGGUCCACGUGGUAUCGUUAAUUUGAUCCAAUCCAUUUCUUUAUUUAUAUAUUUAACAGAAAAAUCCUAUCUGUCUUUCAGUACGCUGCUUCGAAUAUUUCGCUCUUCUUCUUCUUCUUCUUCUUCUUCUUCUUCUUCGUCGGAGAUGGUGAAACCCAACCACUUGAAAAUGGUGACGGAUUCUGACGCUGCCGAUCUCAUUUCCUCUGAUCUCCGGGAACUCGGUAACGCUGCUAGAAAGCUUGCUACACACGCUGUUAAGCUCGGUGCUUCGGGUUUUACUGCUUCUUUUCUCCAAUGGAUUGCUUCCUUUGCUGCUAUGUAUGUUCCCCCCCUCUCUCUCUCUUUUCUGUUUGUUUGAUUUCUGAAUUUUUUUUAUGUUGUUUGUUUGUGGUUCUUCGCUGCUGAUCGGUUAUUUUAGUAGUUUUUUUUUUGCUGUGAGAAAGCUAAUUGGUGAUUUUGAUUCGAGGAAUUGAGUGUUUUUCAAUUGAUUUCUACUUGAUUUUAGUAAUUUGUUUGUUGAUUUAUGUGAUGAAGUGGUUAAGGAGUAUGACUAUGAUUUAGUUAGGGAAAUGAUUCGUGUUACAUUAAGAUAUGUGCUUCUGAGUGUUCUUUUUCGUGUUCCUUAUAUUAAUCUACUUUUAGGUUUUCAUAGAUCGUCUUAAUUUCACUUCGAUUCUUUUUAACUGCAGUUACUUGUUGAUUUUGGAUCGGACGAACUGGAAGACGAAUAUCCUUACUUCAUUGUUGAUUCCGUACAUUUUCUUUAGUCUUCCCGGUGUGAUCUUCGGUUUUUUCAGGUGAUCAUCUCCACUCCAAGCAAUUGCCUUCAAUUGAAGCUUCUGGAUUUGCGUUUUUUUUUUUCUCUUUUUUUUUUUUUUGGCUAAAUUGCUCUCUCUUUGCAGGGGAGAGUUUGGAAAAUGGGUUGCCGUCAUUGCUGUUGUGCUCCGUCUCUUCUUCCCGCGACGAUUUCCAGGUACAUUAGCCUCGACUUGAUUAAUGAUUACACAUUUAUUGAAUUCAUUUUUGGUUAAUAAUAAGUACAGAUUGUGCUAGCUGAUAAGUAUGUUGAUAUAGAUUUAGAGCCAUUAGUCGUUCUGAUCUUCAUUUAGAGAUUUUUGGAUGACUACCGCAAUUACUAGUUUUGAACUUUUGCUUUCUUCCCUUUUAGAUUAACUUUCUAAUUUAUGAACUGCUUGCUUUUGUUUUCUAAUUUGUUCCUUUACUUUUUUAAAAGUAUUUUUUGAAAUCUUAACUAAAUUUGAAAAGAAAUUUUCAGUGGUUUUCUGAAAACUAUGAGUUGCUUAAUUUUAUUUCAGAAACUGUUUGGUAGGAUGAUGUUUAUUUUGUUUUGAAAAAGAUGUUCUUCCUUCCUAUCACACAUGUUCUUGAUUUUUAAACAAUAUGUAAACAGGGAAGCUGUUUUUGAACAUGAUUUUGAAAGACCCAUCUCAUCUAUUUUCAAACUCUUUAAGCAUUGAUGUAAACAAACAAUUCACAAACAAAAACCCAUUAUCAAACCUCUUUGACAUCUUUGAGGUUAUGAAGUUUGACAGGAAGAACUUUAUAGUAAUCAAAAGAUCCAAAACUUUAGUUCAAAUAUAGGAAGUACCUUUAGGCAUUUAGUAUAUCUUCAAAACUUAUUUUCACAUUUGUAUUCCCAGCCCCAAGAUAAUUUGAUUCACCAAAGUUAAAAGGAACAAAUUACAUGUCAAACCUCAUUCAUAAUUAUUCACACUCCAAUCUUACAAGUAAAAGGGAUAUACGUUAGAUUUCAUCUUUAGGAUAUAGAUUUGAGAUUCGAGUUUUGUUUCAAUUUGAUAAUUGACCCUAAUUUUUUAAUUUUCCAUCUUGAAUGUUAAUCUUCAUUAAUUAAUUUCAGAGAAAUGUAAUUAAUUAACACUCAUUAUUAAGUAAUUUAAAAAUGUAAAUAUUAGGGACCAAAUUGGAACUAAACUCAAAACUUAACUAAACUAAGUAAUUAUAAAACAUUACGAAACUCAAAACUUAACUAAACUAAGUAAUUAUAAAACAUUACGAAAUUAGGGACGAAAAUAGUUUUUUUACUUAAAAGUUCAAGUUAAUAAUAGUAAUUUCACAUCACAUAAUUAAGUUACAAUCUAUUAUCCUGUGGAAGUAUAAUUAUUGCAUUCCAUGCUCUGAUUGUGUGGUAAUACAGAUUGGCUUGAAUUGCCUGGAGCUUUGAUACUUCUCAUUGUGGUGGCUCCAAGUUUGUUUGCCAAGACCAUAAGAAACGAUCCCAUCGGAGAAGCAAUCUGUUUGAUCAUAUCAUGCUAUUUACUGCAAGAACACAUCAGAGCCUCUGGUGGAUUCAGAAACUCAUUCACAAAAGCGAAUGGCAUCUCGAACACCAUCGGCAUCAUCCUUCUCUUCGUUUUCCCUGUCUGGGCACUGGUACUCCGUGUUCUUUGAUUGGUUUUUUCUUUUAUUUUCAAAAUGCAAUUAUGCAUUAUUGAUCUUUGCAUUUGUUUGGGAAUGUGGGCUUGUGAGAAUUGUGUUUACCUUUUUUUCUCUUCAAAUUGGGUGUUUGAUUGUCUGAAUGUAGGGGCUGUAUCAGUGUAAAGUUAGAUGAGGAGUUUCUCUCACAAAAGAUUUGUGUAUCAUUUCUUUGAGGGACAAAAUGUGAGAUAAUAUAGAUGUUAUUGUGCUACAAACAGACUUUAUUGCAAAUUAAUAAUAAUAAAUAAUAAAUCUAAAAUUUAAUAAUUAUUAUUAUUAAAAUAUAAUUUGUGGAUUACACAGAUAAUGUAAACUAGAGCAAUGGUUUUACGGUUGUAGAGAUGUUGAAUUUGAAAUUUUGAAAUUUUGAUGUGUAAACAUAUAUCUUAUUAAAAAAGGGUAUAAUUAAAGUGCAGAUUUGGCCCAUCUAUUUAUUUUAUAUAUAAUCUCUCUAUUUAUCAUAUUGUAAAAGAAUAAUGAUUAAUUUUUUUAUAAUAAAAGCAUUGAUGAGUUAUAGCCAAAGUUUUUACCUUUCUUAUGAAAAGAAAUUUAUAUAAGCCUAUUAUUGUCACACCUUAAUAGAAAUGGAUAAAAGUCUAUUAAAAAAAUGUAUAAAACUCUAUUAAAAAAAGGUAAAACUUUUGAAUAAAAAUCUAUUAAAUAAAGGUAAAACUAAUCUUUUAAUAAAGUAGUCUAUAAAAUUGAUAGGAUGUAUCAUUAAUACUAUAAUGGAUAGAAUUAUUGAUUUCUAUUUUUUCUUUUUUAGUUUUAACAUUUUUCGGGUGGAUGAAUAUUUGUCUGAGGAAAAAAAAGAAGAAGAUAUUGAUAUAUAGAUUGAUUGAUAGAGAUGGGCUAAUUUAAGACCACUUGUCUUUGUUGGUGGAUAGCACUCAAGUCAAGGGAAUGUGCCUAUCUAUGUGCUUUAAUUGGGUUAUAGUUGCUACCAAAACAACUUUCUCAACCCAAACUUGAACAACUCUAAGUCACUAUCAAAGUCAAAGAGAAAUAUUCUUAGGAUGUAGUGUAGGAUAUUCGAUUGGAUCUAUGGAGUCCUCCACAUUUCACCCCACACUCAUUUGUGUAGAGGGUGAGGUCGUCUUUUUCUUCACUUCACUGUUCUUCACUAUUCAUUUCUACAAAAUUCUCUAUUUAAUUCUACACGAAAUUGUGGUGGAGAUUCCAUGAAUUGAAAUCUCCGUCAGAAUUUUUUUUCUCGUACUUAAAAAGAAAGUAAUUAACUUAAUAACAAUUAUUGAAAUGAUUGUUUUUAAAUGUAGCAAAAUAGACUAAUAUAUAUAUAAUAUACCAAAUAUUAGUGCCUUUCUAGCGAUAGACAAUUAUAGACAAUAUCGAUCAUUACUUAUCAUUGAUAUACAAUGACAUUUUGCUAUAUUAAAAAUUAUUUUCGGUAAUUUUGUCGUUUAAAAUAAUUAUCCUUACAGAGAAAUUUUAAUCAUAAAGAACUUUUAAAAGUUCACGAACUCAAUUAAUUGUUACUAGAAUGUCAUUGCAACUAGUCUAAUGCUUUAUGAGUAGUUUUACGAUUUCUCUCUUUUUUUAACGAGUUGCAAUUGACAAUUACAAGAAAGCACUAGUUUUGAGAAAUUAAUUUAAAAAAUGUCGAACAGUUUAAUCACCUUUAAACUUCCUAAGAUUUUUGUUACUGCUAUGUGUGUGUGAAAAGUUCAGAUUUAAAGUCACACUUUGACAACUCCAAUAGUAAGUAAUAAAGCUUAUUGUCUGCCAAAUAUAUGUGUUCUUCCACAAAAACAAACACAAAAAUUGACAAAAUCACCACCACUCACUAUUUGCAUCAUAAUAUUCUCUCUUAUUAGAAUUUCAAAAGAAGCUAUAAUAUAAAUUAAAGGAUGGCUUCUUCUAAUAUUUUGUACAACACUAUUUUAAUAUGUAAUAUUAGCUAUUGAAGUUUUCAUUUCUUUGCGUUCUUUGCCUCUUCAUAUAGUUCAUCGAUUUGCUCCUGUAAAUGAAAUGAAACAGAAUAAACUCUCACAUUGCACAUCACUACAUACACUGCCAUCAUACAAUGAGAUAUAUCAGAAGUUGUAUAUAGAUUUUGGACUGCAGUUCAAGGUGAGGUUAACUAUUGUUUGCGAACCCACUUUUUCAGUAGCAUUUUCGAUAAAGAAAAUGUUUUUCAAAGAAUUUUGUGGUGCUUCAUGUCAUAAGACAGGGGAGUAGAUCCACACACGAUCUUUCAUCCAAUCCAAUCCAACUUGAAUUUUAUUAUUAAUUGUUUCUUAUUAAAUUAAAAUAUUUAAAUUUAUAUUUAUAUAACACAGUCUCUAAGACCUCGUUUGGUGAACAUUGUGUUUUUUGUUUUGUUUUUUAAAAUUGAGUUUAUAAACACUACUUCUCCCUACAUUUUCUUUCUUUGCUAUCUACAUUCUACUUAUAAUUUUAAAAACUAAUCCAAAUCUUGAAAGUUAAAAAUAGUAACUUUCAAAAAGUUGUUUUUGGAAUUUGAAAUUUGACUAAGAAUUCAACCAUUGUAAUUAAGCAAAAUGCAAAAUAUUGUAGGACAUAUGAUAGAAAUAGACUUAAUUUUCAAAAGUAAAAAACGAAACAAAAUGAUUACCAAAUAAGACCUAAAUUUUCAUAAAAUAAACAAAUUUUAAACAUCAAAUAUCUCUAUUAUCUAUUACAAAUUUUAAACUAAAACAUCCAUGGAAGAAAAACAUUAAAAUUCCACGAAUUCUAACACUUUAACAAAAUAUGUUAUAUGUUUACUUUUUUUUUUUAGUAUAUAAGUAAUUCAGGUUAGGUUGGAGUUGGACCAACUCAACAAAAAAAUUGAUUAAAUCCAAGACCCAACCUAUUCCAACCAAAAUAAAAAGAAUUACGAAUGGGUUUGGAUAUUCUAAGGCUAAGAAGAAUGGACAUUUCAUAUUAGAGGUCGUAUGGUAUCGAACACUUGGGGGACAUGGAUUCAUCUAGAAAUGUUUGGACAUGUGUCUUAUACACAAAAUUCCGUGUUUUUUUAGAAAAAAAAUUAGACACGUCCAAACACACCCAAUUGUAGUUUUUAGCCAAGAAGGAUCGUUGCAGGGAAAAAGAGAAUUUUCAUAUGGAGGAAGGUUUUUGCUUCAAUAUAAUCGUGUUAGGAACUAAGGUAGUAUGGAAUGCUUUCUUCCCACGUUAAUUAGAAUGGGAUGACGAAUGUAGUAAUUAAGUGGCUUGGCUGGUGUGGUUCUCGAAGUACUUAAAAAUACCCACCAAAUCGCACAUACACGGGUGAAUUCUUCUUCAAUAAUUUAUUCCUAUCAAAUCACAGCCAAUUGGGAAGCAUGCACAUCCUUUUCUUACGUUGGGUGCGUAGAGAAAGAGAAGGGAAACCAAAAUGGAAUGCAAAAAAAUGUCUUUCAUGGUAUGGGUACCUUUUUGAAACACAGCCCUAAUGGCCAAAAAUAAACGUUAACAGGCAGUACACUGAGUUUAGCACUCAAAAAAUAAAGAAGCUCCCAGUAAAAGAGAACAGCAGAAAUGCUGAAGGAACGAAUUUGGAAGUGGGAAAAGUGUACCUUGUAGUAUUUAAGCAGUUGUGGUCUCUUCAACUUAAAUGUUGGAGUUAUCAAAUCCCUCUCCAUGUCAAAGGGAUAUGGUUCCAAAUGAAUUGCUUUUAAUAGCUCAAAUCCUCGAAGCUGCCAAAUAUUUUACCAGAUUAGAUAAAGAAGUAUCUGUAAACAAUAAGAUCCCAACCGAAGUUAAGUAUCUAAAAGAUACUUACAUGGUGCUUUUGACCAUUACUAUUGAGCUCAUCCAAAAUAUACUUCCUUGCUUUGAGGUUCUCACAUAAAGAUUUAAAGUCACCAGUCAUAUUAUGGUUUUGUGCCCAAUCCUCCAAGGCCUUUUGAUCGGGAACCGCCACACCCACAAGAAAUGACUCAAAACUGUUUCCAUAGACCCAAAUCUGUACACCACAGGAAUUGUUUUUUUGCCAUGAGUAAAGGAAAGAUAAAAAUUAAAAUUUUAAAAGUGCACGUACUUCCAAUAUAUAUGAGCAAAAGAAAUGUGACCAUUAGAGAAAGUAUCCAAAUAAAUAAAACUGUCAUCUAAUGUAUCUGAGUUAUGCAAGAAUCAAUUUCUCCUACCGAGGUAAUCAAAGAGCAUUGCAAGAAUAUGUUUUCAAUGUUCUCCACUGCAACAUACUCCCCCUGUGACAGCUUAAAUAUAUUCUUUUUCCGAUCAAUUAUUUUCAUCGAUCCAUCAGGCUGCCAUUCACCGAUGUCCCCUGUAAUGUGUAUACAUGUCAUUUUCUAGUAAAUAGCUAAUCGCAUUUAUAAAACAAAUGUUAAAAUGAUAAGAGUAAACCAUUGAAAUGUAUUUUAUAAUGGUGAAAACGUUAACCUUGAAAUAGGUAACAAGUUGCACACCUAGAGAAAAAUUUCUAGCCUUGCGACAUGAUUAAAUGUGAAUGACCUGGAUUUGCAUAGUGGCUACAUAUAAAAAGUAAACAAAACUUCAAAGGUUUGGGAUCAAAUGGACCGUCUCAAAUUAAGUAGAAAUUCUUUCGAAAGAUGCUAUACGGGAACAGAUGGAAUUAACCCAAAGGAGCUAUUCUGUUCUGGCAACCUUGUUAGUGGAUAGAGAGAGCUUAAAGGAGUUAAGCAAAGAAAGUUAAUAUUUUUGGUGUUCGCCAACCGAAACCUAGUGUUUCAUGUGUUCAUAAAUUCUAAAUUUUAUCAUUUUUCUAUUAUCUUCACUUUUUAAAAAAAGUUCAAAAAUGUUUAAACAAGCAUGAAGCACUACAAUCAGGUUGGCAGUUCAACAAUACUUUUCAAAACAAAUACCAAGCUUGCAUAAAUUUAAUUAAAACCCUCUCUCAAACAGAUGCAAGAUACUUGCAUUGAAGUGACAUAAUCAGUACGAAACACUUCUCUAAAAUAAAUGUGUUUAAACUGAACUUCCUGCUACAUUUGAAACUUAUUUGGCACCUUCAUUCAAUCAACCCAGUUAUGCUAAUUUUUUAUUUGAUGGUACAGAAAAUUGGAAGAAAUUAACUACUUUAAGGAUACAAUUUGCAUAGAUGAUUGCAAGAACAAAAUGGAUAUGAAAACGUAUAUGAAAAUGAGAGAAAUAGAGAAAAAGGAAAAAUUAUGUAGAGAAACUUCCUCCCUUUCGAUCCCAUCUAAUUAUAGUACAGAUUCUAGCAUGUAGUUUUACCUGUAUGAAACCAUCCGUCAAUAAGAACUUCGCCAGUUAGAUCUUGCCGUUUAUGGUAUCCAGAGAACAAGGUACUUCCCCUUAAGCAAAUCUCUCCACGGGGUGUGGUGGCCAGUGCAUCAUACCCCAUAUCAGGAACUGACUCUAGCCUUGCUUCAAUUGUAGUAACUGGAACUCCAACCGUUCCCAUCAUGGUGAAAACAUUGGCUAUGGAUGUAAAACAUCCACCACAACUUUCUGUAAGGCCUAAAAUUGUAAUACGAUACAAGCUCAUUAAAAGAAUUAUUAAUACAUUGUGUUCUUUUCAAAGUUUGAAAUUUUUGCUUCAAUUCCUCCCAAAAAGAGAUAAGAGAGUUUCUCCUUUUUCUUUCACUUAAUGAAAAUAGUCGCUUGUUAAGAAAAAAAUGCAGCUUCUUCAAGAAUGACAUUGCUCAAUGAUAACUAGCACUAAUUUUUUACCGGAGACAAAGACUUCAAUUAUAUUCAGGUGAAUCUACUCUGAUUAGGUAAAAACAAAAUAAAUAGCAUCUUGCAUACCAUAUCCUUGGCUUAGAGUUGCACAACUGGUAACCCUCAGGAACUCUUCCACAUGCCUAGGCAAAGGUGCAGCACCAGAUAAAAAAAGGCGAACUCUCCCACCAAAUGCUUCUUUUAUCUUUCAAAAUAUAACAGCACUUUAAUUAUGUAAAAGAAGCCUUACAUUUAAACGAACCAUACACAAGAUAAAUGACAAACCUUGUCAAAUACAAGCUUGUCCAAGAGAGGUGCUGCUUUUUCCUGGAGCAGACCCUUCUUCAGAUAUCCUAGCUUGCUAUUAGCACUCUGUUUGUAAGUUACACUAUAGGUGAUAAUACAGGUAAUUUAAACCAAUAUAAUAAGUACAGAAUUCAAACGUACUAAAUGUAUGCAUAAUCGAAUAACAUCUUCCGCAAACUGCCUCCAGAAGAAACUUUGUUCAGAAUACCUAUAACAAUAAAGGUUGUGGAAAUUACUUAAACCACGUAAUUUCAAAACAUUAAGUAGUAAUCAAAUUAUGUAGAUAAAACAAGAACAUGUAUUGUACCAGAAUAAAUACGAUCGUAAACUCUAGGAACUCCAGAAAAUAUUGUUGGCUUCAGUUCCUGAAUAUCAUCUAGUAAAAACCUGAUGUCCUGCAAAUUUACACAGAAACAACUACAUAAGUUCAAAACAUAAGGGCAUGAGGUCGUAAAAACAAGAACUUCAACUGAUCAAAAUUACCCCACGCCAAAACCCAAUAGAUGAACCCUUGUAGAUGCAAUAGGUCUCCAUUAUCUGAUCAUACACAUGAGCUAGUGGAAGAAAUGAGAAAUAUGAAUCUUCUUCUGUCGCCUGUAAUGUUACCAUCGUGUAAUUACUACAGUUGUCAUGCAAAAUAUGAGAAAAAUGUGAUAGAACAUUAAUCAAACUACAUCGGCACAUAGUCAUUUAAGAACUCCCACAAUUCCUUCAUCAGGUCAAAAUUUAUAGUUGGCUGCUUACCACUUUAUCUGUCAAUAAAAGUAGGUGCUCCACAGACAAGACUUCGGCCAUUACAGCUGUAUUAUUGAGGAUAACACCUUUUGGUUCCCCUGUGGUUCCACUUGUGUACAUUAUCGUGCAGAUAUCGGUUUUCUGUUUUGAAGGGAGUUCACAGUCCAAGCUUCCCUGGAGCAAAGUAAAAAGAAAAAAAAUAGAUAUGCUGCUAUGGUGCUAAUGAUAAGACAAUAAAUGGUUGAGAAAAAAACGUAUAGUACCAACUGACAGAACUCCUCCCAAGAAAAGCAAGACACUCCCAGUUCUUCAGCUUCCUUCUUAAGUACGCUCGAAACAUUGGUAAAACUGACAAUAGCUGUGAACCAAAAUGAUACACAAUGGUUAGAGUUACAAAUUACAAAACUCUAGAAAGAAAGUGUACUUCAAGUUCUAAACUAAUACAACAUACUUUUUAAUUGAUUUGAACACCUGGGAAGGCAUGAAAAAAUCUGCACAAUGAACAAAAUGGAGGGAACAUUUAGAAUUGGCCGUUAUACAUUUAUACUUCCCGCUGAAAAAAAUGGAGUUUUGUUCAAAAACCAAUUAUAUUUUUUAAAAAUUUCUGUAUCUCAUGCGCGGAAACAACAUACAUUUAAUAAAUAAUUUUUUUUAUUUUUAUAUCGUUUGCCACACCAGGCAAAAGAAAACAAACUAUGUGCAUAUUUUGGCACUUAGCACUCAAAUCCCAGGGCUCUCUAUUGUGCCUCCAUUUUCCAGUUUAAAAUACACUAACACCAAACAUAAAGUCCAUGGAACAACUUAAAUAAUUAGCAAUAUAAAAGGGGUAAGAAUGAUAAGGUUAGCAGCAUGGAGACGUACAGAAGCAAGUUUGUUUUCUUGAACAAAAGCAAUUGAAACUUCAGCGUGGUUAAUGAUGAACUCGACAGCAUUAGCACCUGUAACAGUUUGAUUGUCAAUACAGGAGCUCAAGCUACUAUUCUCUUAUUCUUAAAGUUCAAAAGAUGCCAGAAAGAAAAUGGAACCAUACCAAGCGUGUCAUACAGCGGCACAUAAGUGAUAGCUUGGCUAUUACAGGCCUGUAGGUAACAAAGGGUACAUCAAAUUCUCAAACAUCAGUGUUAAGAGCAGAGGAAAUGAGAGCACUAGCCUAUCAACUUAAACUUUCAGCAUGAUAUCAAAUUCAAAUUUUCCGUAAAUGUCAUAGAAAUAAUACUGUUCCCCCAUUUUAUAUUCAUAGUCUAAUGCUGUCCUGAUAUUUUAGCUAAGGCCCAACAGAAAAUAUAGAAAAAAAUAUUAAAAUAAUUUAGAAGCUCAACUUUUGAAUCAAAUGAUGGUUUUUACUUCAUGAGAGAGAACUUGAAAAGAAAUAACAUGAAAGGAGGGGAAAUGAGCCAACAGUCCAACAGAAUUGGCGGAUUUAGCCCACACAUUGGUCAUUGUCCCCCUAAAUCUCAACCUCAUAUACAUCGUCAAAAACACAAAAUUGCAUACCUCCAUCGAAAUUAUCCAUUCAGGGCAAUUGGAACCAUAUAUACCACAGCGAUCGCCCUAUAAAACCCAAAAAAGGAACCAGUAACAGCAGGAAAAAACAUAAUUCCACUAAGCAUAGUUCCAAUUUAGAACAAUAAUAGAAAAGUAAGAACUUCUAAACACAUCCACUUCACUGAACAACACUUGGACUUACAGAAUUAACCCCACGCUUUCUAAUUGCAGAUCCCAUCCUGAUUGCAGCAUCAUAUGCUUCUUGAUAUGUGAGCCAUACAUAGGAACCCGCCUGCAAAGUUCAAUAAAAAAAAAAAAAAAACAGUUCCAAUAACUCGAUUUCAGCUUUUAGAUUUGAUAUUUGAUUUUCAUCAAGACUCAGAGUUGGCUGGAAAUUGUUACCUUAGAGUCGCCGUUGGUUUGCCGACGACCGAGCAUUGGGUUGCCUGGAUUCCUCUUGACGGAAUCACUGCAAGACACAAAAUCAUAUUGUUGGGCGAUCAAAAAUUCAUAUCAUGGCUAGGAAAUGCGAUCACUUCCUCAAAUGGUGCGUUUGAUUUUAAUCAACUACAGAAUCCAAAUUUGUGUGCACUUAGCACUGAUACUGAUACUGAUACUAAUACUAAUAGUCACUCAUAAACAUUAACUACCCUCACCCUCUCUCUCUAUCUAUUGUUAAUAGAUAUAUAUUCCCACUAAUACAUCCAAGUCUACUAUCAUUUAUUCUCCUAAUACACAAUUAAAUUUUGUUAUAUUUAUAUUUAUCUUUUAAAAUUAUUAUUCUUCUAAUUCUUUUAAUUUGAUUAAUUAAUUAUUAAACAUCACAUUCAAGAUAUGGCUACAAUGUUUUAAAGUUUAGAAAUACAAAUUGAAAUAUAACUCAAAUCUUUUACCAUUUUGGAACUUUUAACACAAAAAUCUACCUUUUAAAUCUGCCAUCAAACUAAAUCUAAAUAAAAAAAACAAAACUAUAAUACUUAAUUAAGUCCAUGAAGGAAAAAAAAGGCCACAACAUGAAACUGUAAUUGUAGACUGAAUUGGAUGUAGUUACUUUUUCAUAUGAAAAUGUCCAAAGAAAAGAAAUGGGAAACCUGAAGAAUUGCCAUGGAGAUUGAAGUUCAUCAGGCAAUUGCAGAAGUCCAUCUUUGGCGUAGAUGCUCCGGUAGACUGGCCCUGCGGAUGGCCUUCCGCCGCUCUGGGGUGUGUCCGCUUCGACGACCACCGUGUACGAUGUCGACAUUGUGAUGAAGAAAGGCGCUGUGUGCUGCAAAAUUGAUGAAAUGGUUUUGAAGAGGUAGCAGUGACUUUAAUACAAUUUGAUCUUUUAAACACACAAGAGAUAUGGGGGUGUUGGGAAGGUUAUUGGUUGGUUGAGCUCAGCUAAAUGCAUUAAAUUCUCAGCAAUACUACACCACCUUUGUCCUCAUACCCUUCAUACUAUUUUCUACAAUCUCUUAUUAAUUUCAUAUCUUUCUUACUUUAAUUAAAUACUUUAUAAGUUACCUUUUACAUAUCAAUUAUUCCAACACUUCCUUUCUUUUUCAAUAUUUGAUAAAUUGAUCGUAGAUUUGGAAUUUGUAUCCAAUUGUUAGUAAAGAAGAGAUGUCCAUUGUAAACAAGGAAAAUAAAUAUAUAUUAUGUUUACUACAUAAAGUGAUAUUCUACCCCUUAUUGUAAGCACACACUUUUAGGUUACUAUACACUUUUAAGUUUAUUUGUUGCAAACUAAAACCAUCUACAAGGUUUUCCUUUUUUUAAAAGAGAAGUUGCAUUAUCCUUAGUUUAUGAGAGAGAUGGAUAGUUGGUCAUUCAUAACUAAUAAACAAAAUUCAUUUGAAAUCUCAUCACUCAAAAAUCAAAAUCAUAAACUUUCAAACACAUUAUAAAAAAAGGACAUAAAAGGCAAAUUGUCAACUUCAAGAUCUCUUUAACGUAUUAUAAAAAUAACUAAGGCCAAAUUGUAAAAAUUUGCCUUUAAAAUACGAUGGUAGUUGUAACUAUAUUUCUAAACUUUCACUGAUAAAAUUUAUCCAAAUUUUAAAAUCUUCCUCCUAAACUUAUGUAUCUGUCUUGAUUAUAUAAGUUUUAAAUAUUCAAAUUUUAUUACUGGUAAGUUGAGUUUUCCAGUAUUAUUAUAAACUUGACAGACUAGUUUGAAGCCUCUUAAAGAAGAGUUGAUAUUGGCUCCUAAUUGGAAAAGAAGAAAAAAGAAAAGGUGGAGUGGGUAAUAGAGUAAGUGUGACAUUAAAUAUAGGUAGAUAUGAUGGUAAAGCGUUGAAAAAUGGGAAUCCCCAAAACCAAUCCCAACUAAUAUAUAAUGUGCAUAUAUUAAUUAACUUCAUCCUUUCCAGCCUCCCCUUUAAUGAACCAUGCCAAACAAAUAUAAAUAUAUAUAUAUAUACACAUACAAAAUUUAAAGCACAUCUCAGUUUUUUUAUCUUCAUUAAAAAGAGACAAAGGUAAUGUUUUUUCAGUAAAGUUCUUUUUUUCUUCUAAACCAACUAAAAGCUUAUAAAGUAGAGGGUAAACAUAAGUUUACGUCCCAUUUAAUGACAACAAAUUUGCACUGCCAACUUUGGUGGCCGCCUCAUUUUCCAUCUAAUGCAAAACCUUGAGUUUUUUUUAGUUUGAUAAUUGAUACAUCUACUUCCUUUCUAUUCUAUUGUAGUAAGCCGUUUAUGUAAACUAAAAUUUUGUAAAUGUUGUCUAACAAGAGACACGAUGCUUUUUAAAACUACGAUACUUUUCUAAUAAGUCUUCAAAUGUUUAGAAAUUUGUAAUGUUUAGGAGAAGAAGAAACACCAUUUAUUUUUAAAUUAUUGAUCUAUUGUUCCAUCGAAUUUUUAAUCUUGCUUUUUAAUAUAGAAGCUAAAUCAUUAUAUAAAAAUCUUAUAAAUUGAAAAGUAUGGAGACUAAACCCUAAUACGUUCAAAUUCUAAAACCAAUAAAGUAUAUACAAGGUGUGAUUUAGUUUAUAUUUUUAAAUCUUUAGAAAAAUAACUAUUUUUAUCCUCUCUUUUUUUCUCUUGUAAGCCAUUGCUGUCAAAUUAUAAUAACAAAUAGUUGAUUUGAUUUUGAUUAUAUAUUAGGAGUAUUUAACAAUAAAAUAAGGAAGACACUUUUUAAUAGUCAAUUUACUAAAAUGGAUCUUAAUUGACCAAAAAUAAAAUAAGCCUAAAUGUAAGAACAAAAGUGAUUUUGUUUUCAAUUUCAACCCUUAAAUCUUUGGGAGGGCUUAGGGUUUUCUUUUUUUCUCACUAAACUAUAUUUUAAUUGAAGUAAAAAUUUAAACAAAAAUAUUAAAUGAUGUAAUUGAUCUAACAUAAAAUAUAUAUUUCCUUCCUUAAACUACUUGUGAAAGAUCAAACAAGUUAAUUAAUAUUCCUAAACUUUUUCGUUCUACACUACAUUGUUUUUUUAUCGAGACCGACAAGAUUUAAAUCUCUAUAAUCUAUAUUUACUUGAAGAAUUUGAAAACGAAAUAGUUUGAUGAGAAGUAUCUAAAAUGUUUUGAAAAUAUUAGUGGUUAUAAAUAAGUUUGAUAGUUCAAGUUAACAAAUUGGCGAUUCAUUUAACUUUAGUUUAACACGUUGUCAUUUUGACUAAAGACCGGAAAGUCUAAUCAAUUGCCUUGUAUAAGUUAGAGACUUAAUUGAUAUAUAAAAUUACAAAUCUAUGUUAUGUUUAUCCGAACGAAUCAUAAUUGAGUAAAAAUCUAAGAUUUUAAUUAGUAUUAUUAAUUUACCGUUUAUCAAUUUAAAAACGCAAUUUGUUUACGCUAUAGAUUUGUUUUAGUGGACUCGACGCGUAAGUAUUUAUUUUUGCAUUGUUUAUAUAAAUAUGUGUUUUAAUUAUAAUAUAUAGUAGUUUGAAAGGGAAGGGACUUUAUAUUGUUGGACAAUCAUUUUACUAGAAGUUAGGUGUUUUAUCCAAAGCAACAGUGAUUUUGGUCAAAGUUAAUUUGUCUUUCUCAACAAAAAAAAAAAAAAAUGGAAAAUUAACUUUUUUUUAAAGAAAAAAAAAAAAGCAAAAGCUACUAAAAUACAAAUCUAUAAAUAUUCUUUUUUCUAGACAAGGUAAAAUUGGACAAAAGGCCAAACUUUUUUCUCAUGAUCUCUCUCAUCAAUGUGAUUGUAAAUAACUAUACCCUAAAACAAAUAUUGGUAACAUCCAAACUCUUGUUUGAAACAUUCCUCUACUAUUCUUGAUAGAUCAUAUUCUAAAAAUACUACAUAUCGUGGUCUUUAACAAAAUGAUUAUUAAAAAUGUGAAUAGAGUUUCAUGUCUUCCAUAAAUUUACUGUUCGAUAUUAUAUAUUUAUAAAUCAUAAAAUAUAUUUUUUUAAAAUAAAAAUAAUUUACAUGAUAUACUUAAUUUUAAACUUUUGACUUUAAAUUAUAUUAAUUCCAAUUUUAUAUCUAGUAGUGUUGUAAAAUGUUGAAUGGAUCAAGUAUCUAUUGCGAAAAGACACAAACUGAAGGUUUAGUAAUUCACUGAACGCUUUUUAAAGUCUAUCAAUCAAAUAGACACAAAUCUAAACGUUUUUAAAAUAACAUUUAAAUAUGGAAUAAGUAUAAAUAAUAAACAAUACCAUACCAACAUUUUGUAUAACAUAAUGAAAAACAAUAGCAAACAAUAAAGUGAACAAUUAAAUGUUAUUGACCAUAACUCGUUAAUAAUUGACGUGCACAUCAAAUCCUCAUACCAAUUACUCAUUGUACUAAAAACAAUAAUAAUUAACCUCCAGUGAGCACGUCUAUUUUUCUUUAUUUUUGGUUUCUUUCUUUUUCUUUUUUUAUGUUUAUUUUUGGUUUCUUUCUUUUUCUUUUUUUAUGUUUAUUUUUGGUUUCUUUCUUUUUCUUUUUUUAUGUUUGAAAAUGUUACAAUUUUAUCUUAAGUUAUUUACGUUAAUUUUCUAUUAAUUAACUUAAAAUAAUGAUUAAAAUUAAAUUGAAUUUCAUUAAUUAUCUAUUGAAUUAAAAACAAUGGAACAAUCAAUAUAUAUCUACAUCAUCAUGAUUGUUUUAGUUUAUUAAAGAAAAAUAAAAGUGUAAAAUUAGAAAAGGUUAUAAACCAAAUAAAAAGUAAACUCAUUGUAUGAGAGAAGGAAUGAAAAUAAAAGUAAGAAUUAAGAAAUUGAUGGGUAGAAAAUGGAAGAUUAGAGGAUAUAAAAAGAGAUUUGAGAAAGAGAGGGAGAGGGAGAGGGGAAAACAACAAUAAAUUGGUAACAAUAAUGCAGCUACCAAAUAUUGAUGUAUAAUAAAUGAGGGAUCAUUAAUUAGUUUCACCUUAUAAUUUUAUAUUUAGUAACAAAUUUAAUGCUAGAUCUUCUUGCAUCACCCAACUGGCCCCUACCACAAUUAUUUUUCUAUAUUUUUCUUUUUUUUACUUUUCUUUUUUUUCAAAAAAAUUAUUGUUGUUGUUUUACAUUUACCACCCUUUGUUCUAAUAAAAAUAUUCAAAACUUUAUUUUUAAAAAAAUAAUUUUAGAUUGGUGUAUAUAUGUUUAUUGGGUCAAUUGGUUAGAACUCAAGGUAGGGUUAGGACUUCUACUUUGGGAUGUAGAUUUCCCUAAGGUCGCCUAGUGGUUUUUCUUCGACUUGAACUUGUCUACACGCUAUCGACCUUAAUUAGCCUCGGACAACCUUGAACAAGUCUUUUAAGUUUCAAAGUAUUAUAAGUUUCAAAAAAUUGUUAGGAUAUUGAUACAGAUUUGGUACACGAUCUUGUACCAAAUCUAUAAGAGAUCGUAUAUCAAAUAUAAAAGAUUUUGGUACCAAGAUCAUUUAGAAGAAUUGCAUGCAUGUGACCGAUUAAUCGCGUAUUAACCGUAACAUUUUUUGUAUUUUCAUUAUGGGCCUAUAGGUUUUUUCUGUUUUUGAAAUUAUUCUAUAAAAUGUAAAUAUUUUUACCGGUAUGUAUUUACAAAUAUAGAAAAAUGAUAAAAAAAUAUAUAUAUAUUUUAUCUAUAACGCCCGAGACUAGGAGGAAGACAUGAUUGAACCGAUAUACCAUCUAAAUGAAAGAGAUUAUGAGGACAUGAAAGUCAUGUUAAGAAAAAGAAUUAAAAGUUAAUACAUGUACCAACAAAGUGCACAUUUCUUUUCGGUGACUCGAUUAUAGGAACUCCAAAGUAAUUUUUCUAAGAUUACACCAUCUUGUUGUCAUUUUGUUAUAUUUAAAAAAUAAUUUUAGGAUUAUGUUAUUUAAAAUAAUUAGGAAGUAAAAUUUUAAAUUUGAUUUGUAAUAGUGAUGAAAAAUAGUUAAAGUUGAUAAGUUAGCUCUGAGUUAAUUGAUAAAUACUAAUACUAAAAACAAAGAUAGAGUAUUUAAGGAAAGAUUGAGAUUAUAAGGUAGACACCAAAUUAAAAUAAAACGCAAAUUUAAGAUGGUAACAUUUGGAAACUAAGAAUUAAAAAUAGAAACCAAGUACAAAAUUUAAACGCCAAACUUGUAAAUAAAGACUAAACCUAAAACUAAAAUUAAAAGGCCAAAAACAUAUUUUCUCCCCUCCCCCUAAAAUUAUAGAUCAUAUAGGGACAAUAUGGCUACUUAGUCCAUACAUUAAAAAUCAAAAUUAUACAUAAUAAAUUCAGUCAAACCCACUAAUAUCAACAACAACGUCCCUUUUUUUGACCAUCAUAAUUAGGUUUAUGUUAUAUCAUUCAAACUCAGUCAAAUUAAAUUAAUAAAGCAUUAACCCACACAUUCACUAAAACCUAAGUUUGAAACAUUUUUCAAAAUCCAUAAUAUUUCUCAAUUUUAGAAAGAGUUUUAACAUUUUAUUUCACAUCCAAUUCUGUAUCAAAUGAAUAUUCUAUUAGAAGAAAACAUAAAUUUUAGGAGUCUCCAUUGUAAAAAUAUAUUGUUUUUAUUUAUCAAUUCAUAUUUAUUCCUUGUAUUUUUAAUAUCUAUCAAUUGAAAUGAGAAUUAAAUUGAAAUCCCUUUAGAUACAAAAUUGUUCUUCUUCCAUCACGUGAAUGUGAACUAUGGAUGUUUACAUUUGUGUGUCAAUCUCUCCUUUUGUUGGAAGGUUAAGAGUCCUCAAAAUGUUAAAUGAGAGAUUUAGAGUUCCUCCAAUGAGUAUGAUUGUGACUGUCUACUAUCCAUUACUUUCCUUCCAUUUCUAAUCUUAUACUUGGAAAUUGGGUUUGCAAAAGUAGCCUCUAAGAAUUUGAAAUUGAAGGACCAAAAGUAAAUGGCAAGAGUAAAGAGGGACCAAUUAGCAAAAUAAAAAAAAAAAAGAGUGAAGAAGUAGAAAAAAAUGUUGCAUUAAAUUUGUUAGAGUAGGGAUUUAACCUCAUAUGAGCAGUGGUUCAUCGAUUAAAGUUUAAGAGAGAGAGAGAGAGAGAGAGAGAGCGAGAGAGAGGGAGAGAGAGUGUGUAUUCUCUCUCGUCAAUUUUUCAUUAAAUGCUUCUCCCCACCUCCCAUUAAUGACCUCUACAAAAUUUGCCAGACAUCUCUUCAUUAAAACCCCCCACCACCAUUCUCUCUCUCCACCACCACCGCCGCCGCUUCUCUCUCCUUCCCUCCUCCCUAUCUCCCACCCUCCAUUUCCCUCUCUCAUCAUAGCCGCACACGUGUCCUCGUUUUUUCAUUUCUUUUCCUCCUUUCUCCUCUCCUCUCAUCUUCUAUUGAAUCUCUCCGGUGAUAAUAACGCCUCGGGAUCUCCGCAUCUCAACCGGCUCGACGAAAACGCCGCUGCUCCUCCUCCGCCUGUUACUGACGAUCGGAGAAACAUUGGACUCGUCAUUGACUUACUCCGUCUCGAUGAACCUCCACCUACGCCGUUGGAGAAUCUCCAGCUUGAUUCCGAUAACGGAAAGAAUCCUCCUCUUCGUCUGAAGAACGGGGACUUCAUACCUCUGUAGUAUCGGAAUGAGAAUACUCUCGCUUUCGGUAGAGAUCCGAAUGGUGACGGCCGUUUGCUCCAGAAGCUUCCACGACGGUACCUCCAUGGAGACGUGGUUGCUGGUUCUAGAAUCAUUCUCUCCGACGCUAAGCUCCGUUCGAAUCCGAAUGAAUACGAUCGUUUCAACAAAAAAUCUCUUCCGUUCAUUUGAUCCUCCACUGAAUUACUAUUUCGUGGCUCAUCAAUACAAGGCGUGAUCUCUGAUUCCGUUGCGUGGUAAGAAUCUCGAUUAGGUAUAGGAGGACCUUCAGCUAACGGUUCCAAUAUGAUGCUUCGUAAGAUGGUAUCGUCUAAGCUUGGCCGGAUUCUAGCUGCCAUAACCGGCGUGAAUGGAGAUUCCGGCCUAAAAACCACCGCGCGACAGAGAGGACAGUUCGCGUGUGAUCUAAGCCAUACAUCAAUACAAUCAACAUGAAAGGCGUGCGAACAAAUCGGUAGCGUUCUAACGUAAUCAUCGUCUUCAAAUUCCAAAAGACAAACGGCGCACUCACGGUCACGGCUUUUGGCAGUGUAGACGGAAAGCGGAAUCGUUUUGAUUACAGAUUCGUCCAGACCGUACGGAGAGAAUACAUGGAAGGCAUCUGUAGUAGGUUCGAAGAAAGGCGAAUCGUAAGGGAGUGAAUCCAAGUCGCCGCCAGAGGAGGACGGGAUGUAAGAUCGGGCAGCAAGUCGACGACGGCGGCGCCACCUGCGCCAGCGACGGCGGUGGAGACGGAGGAGAUGGAGAAUGGGAGGGAUGAGAUGGCGAGAGAUUAGGCGAGAGUAAGUGACGAUGAGAAAGGCAGUAGCGAUGACGACAACCAUGGCUAUUAGAGGGGGACUGAAGUCGACUGGGAGCUUCGCCGGCUGUAAGGAUGAAGGAGGAGGGAAAUUGGCGGCGGCGGCGGAGGAGGAGGAGGAGGAGGAGGAGGUGGAAGGAGAAGGAGAGGGAGAGGGAGAAGGAGAAGGAGAAGGAGAAGGAGAAGGGGAGGUCGGCAUGGAGGUGGUGCAACGGCGGAGAGGGAGGGGGAGAGAGAGAGAUUUGUAUGAAGAGAGAAGAAGGGUUUAAUGGAAGAAGAAGAGAAGAGAGGUUUGACUCUUUGUUAGGUCCUCCAUGCGAUUUGUCGACGAGGACAUUGGAUGAAUGACACGUCACUAUUCACAAAUUUAAAGCCCCUUCUUGAGUUUUCAUCUUGUGCGGUGCGGACUAUGACAUUCCAAUUCUUCUAUAAAGUCUAUUGCCACCUCAGCAUCCGUGAGGCCCUACUCUUAUGUUUUUAAUAACAUAUAUACAUUAGUCAUUAACAUUAGAUAUAUAGUGUUUUACAUUUCCUUUAGUUUAUGAUGUAUGAAGUAGGAGAAUUGUGGUUUUAAUUUGCGAAAUGAAAUAGUAUGGGAUAAGAAAAGAAAAGAAAAGAAAAGAAGAUGAUUGGGAAAGGAGGGGGGGGGGUGUAAGUGAGGGAGAGAGGAAGAGAAAGUAAAAAAGUGGUGGCCCACAGAAGAGGGGAGCAGAGAUCUUCCAUGAAAUUUGAUGCCAAAAAGCAAAACCCAUUCAUACGUAAAACAAAACACCAUCCAUCCAAAUAUCUAUAAUAUAAAAUAUCCAAAUAUAUUAUUAAUAAUAAUAAUUGGAUUGGUGAGUUAAGAAAGAAAAAAGAAAAGACGAAGAAGAAGAUAAUAAAAUGGAUUUAUAAGAACCAAUGAUAAUGGAGAGACUAUGUUGAAAGGGCCAUGGUUUAAUUAGAGUUUGUGGAACAUAUCUACCUACAAAGUCAAAAAAAAUUUAUCAUUUCUUUUCUCUUUUUUCAAAAGCUGAUUUUGAUGUGAACCCUACCCUUUUUCUUUCUUUUUUUUUUUUUUUUUUCAUAUAAUGGAGCACUAAAAUUAUGUUGGACCCAAUCCAAUUCCCUAUCACUACAUAUCAUUGAAUAAUAGUUAGUACACACUAUGGAACAAUAACAUAUAUAUAUAUUUAAAACUUCGUUUAAAUCUACAAAUUAAACUUAACCAAACUCAAAUCUCAAAUCUCAAAUCUCAAGAAAAAAAGUUAUAAUAUUUUUGUUUUGAAAUUAUUUAUAACAUUAUUCAAAGGUUUUGCAUGACUAUGAGAAAGUAGAAUAAAACAUUUUUUCUUCAAUCUCUUUCCAUCAACCAAGUUUUAAUGAAUGUCUUUAUCAAGAAGCAGAGACAUGGCUUCAUUUCCAUCUGAGUUUAUAGUAAAAACAAUGCUAACUCUUUUGGCUUCUUUUCAUUGUGAAUACAAAUAAAUGAUUUUGUAGCUUUUGGUUUUUUCUAGAAAAAAGUAGAAAUGUUAGAGAAAAAAUUGGUAGAUAUAACUAAUGUUUAUAUUAAUAUUUAGUUGUUAAGUUUCAAAUUCUACAUUUUAAACCUUCAACUCACUAACUAUUUACUCUUUAUUUUGUUUAUAUUUCGUAAAUACUUUUAACAAUUCUGUCAAUAAUUUUUUUAUAUAAACAUAUUUGUAAUAACUAUAAAUAAUUAAGUUUUACUAUUUCUAUUACUAUUAAAAUUAAAACCAUAUGUAUAUGAGUUUGAUUUUAAAAUCUUGGAAGAGAUUGUUUGAAUCACUAAAAUUUGUUUCAUACUAAAUAUUUGGAAUUUGAAUUCGUGAGACAAUUAAUGUUUGUAUUUAAUUUAGGUAUCAAUUAAUUUUUGGAUGUUAUAAUAUAUUCGUUUGAUUUAUCAAUUUUACAUAUAUUUAAUUUUAAAAUAAGUAAUUAAUUCCACGUGGAGAACAUUUAAUGCAGUCUUAAAAAAUUAGAGUUAUUUAAUACAUUGUUGUAUUAUAUUACGUUACCCUUAGAAUAAAAAUAAUUGAGUAUCUUCAUAUUGAACAAUUCAUUUACUCAAAGGAAUUUAUUAAAUAUAAUAUUAACCAUUAACAAUAACUUUUUUAUUAGAUAGUUAAGGAUGACGUGUUAGUUGAUGCAUAUUGAGUUUGAAUAAUACAUAAAUAUUUAAUAAACAAAACUAUUAUAAAUGACAUACAAAAUAUUUAUACAAUACGAAAUUUUAGAUAUAUUAAUGAUAGAAAAUGAUAUGUAACAAUCAUUUUGAUAAACACUCCACUUAAAUUGCUUCUAGGCUUAGGAAAAAUGGUGCAUUCGAGUCUGUGUUAUGAGGUUCCAAACCUUGCUUUGUCUAUGAGUAAUAGUUUUAAAAUUUUACUAAUUCUUUAAAAUAUGUUAUGACUCAAUUUACUAGAUUUAAAAAUGCUCAUGUUAAUAAUUAAUUAAAUUAAUAGUAAUGAUUAAUUGAUAAUAGUAUAUUAGUGUUGGAUAUUCGGUAUAAAUAUCUAACUAAUUGUAUGAUGGUAUUAAAAACCAUGUCAAAGAGGUUUUGAAAAUUUUCUAAUAUUAGAUUCUAUGUAACAAACCAAGAUAUUAAAUAGAUAUUAAAUACAUAUUUAAAAUUUCAUGACAAAACCAUCCAAAC